Molecule: long non-coding RNA, 62359 nt
Filed under: Citrus x clementina
Lineage: Eukaryota; Viridiplantae; Streptophyta; Magnoliopsida; Sapindales; Rutaceae
Description: Citrus clementina (C. clementina) long non-coding RNA (CCLE_LNC002951)
Source: RNAcentral
UUUGACAAUAUAUAUCUUAUCCUUGAUUAAUUUAUAUGAAUGAAUAUCAAGUGUAACGUAAAAUAUUAUUUGUGUUGCACAUGACAUGCGGACAAAAGAAUGCAAAGAUUCCUUAAAUUAACAAGAUUCAAAGUAUGAUAUAGAAAAGAAUUUAAAAUUAAAAAAAAAAAAGUAAAAUAGAAAGUUGAAUUUAACAAGAUUCAUGUACAGGAAGAAAAAGAAUUAAUAAAGUGAUGAAAAAUUGGUAAUCGUGGCAAGUAAUCUUAUUCAUGUACGAGGCGGCACGACCCAAGACUUGGAGAUUAAAUAAUGAAACUUCUUUGCAAACGAUAGAAACUCCAAUUUAUGGAGAGACUUGACGAGUAUUUUAUCAUUUUAUGCAUGGAAAUCCACGUGCAUGCAUGCAUGUUCUCCACGCUUGGAAAUUUUGCAAAUGGCUUCUCCCUUUAAUGGGAUGCACAGUUUUCGUACAUCAAUAUUGAAAAUGUCCUCUAACAAGUGUCUCAAUUAUUGGAUAACAUGUGCAGUCCUUGUAAUUCAUUGAUAACACGUCCCUCAACAAUCUAUAAUACAUCAAACUACCAAAUUGGCCAACAAAUCGAUGAUACUUAUGUUUUGAAAAACUAUCAUGUAAUUGAUGAUUAUAUCAAAUUUAACUAUAUAUAUUAUAUAUACAUUAGUUGAUUGUAUUGGUUUUGAUGUAUUGUAAAAUUUUUGAUUUUAUGGGCAUAUAAUAUAGAUUAUCAAAAUUUAAGUUUCUUCACAUAUGCGCGCGCACACACAUACACACACAUAUAUAUAGGAGUGACUAAUGAGUCUUUUUCUUUUCUCAUUUUGAGAAAAUCUCAAGUACAUAAAACUUAUUAUAACCAUUUAGUGAAAUUAGUUAUGACAUACGCAUUCUGAUUUUAUUAUACUAUAAUUAUCUUCUUCUUCUUUUUUUCCAACUUAAAUGUACACGUACGUGAUCAAUGACUAUGGAUUAUGUAAAGGAGUUUAUCAUUUUAUUGAAAUUCUAACGAUUGUCAAAGCAUAUUAAAGGGAGAUUGGCAGUUUUCUUCAUGUAGAAAUUAAUACAUACCAUUUCCAUUUCUCUUCUUAUUGCUUCUAUAAUAAUCAAUAACUUUCAUUCAUCAUAAUUUUAUAGUAUUAUUCUUAUUUUAAGAUAUUUUAAAAUUUAUUUAAUUAUUCAUCUUUAUUAUUAAUUAAAUGAAUUAUAUAAACAGAAAUAUAUAUUUUGUCUUUAAACAUAUUUUCUUAUAGUAAAUAUAUAUUUUAUAUUUUUAAAAUAAAAUAUCAAGUAAAUGACCUAUUUACCUUUACUUUCUUUUAAGUUUUUUUUAUACGAAGAGAUUAUUAACUAUUAUGAAAAUAAUAGACGAAUAAAUAUUUUACAUAAAUUUCGACAGGGAGAAACUAUCAAUACUCUUAAACGAUUGAACCUUCAGUAUCUUAGUAGUUGACUGUGAAUGACAUUUUAUUCCACCCCAUUGCAAUUGUUGCUUGUUUUCCACGGAUAUCUUGAUUACGUUUGCAAGCUUAUGUUAUAAGGGCUUCGUCAUUGCCAUUAUUACGAAAUUAAAUAGACUACGAUUGUUGACCUAAUUUGAAAAUUCCUCCAUUGUUUAUUAUUUUUCCCUUUUUAAUUUAUCAAUAUCAGUCAUAUCAAGUCAUUCUUUUAAUCAAAAACCUUGGGGAAGACGAAAUAUAUAUUAACUUACUGUCUUUUCUCAAUAACUUUUUAGGUGAGAUUAGUUUAAUAAAUUACAUGAUAAAUAAUACUCUUGCUUGAGUCUAUAUAUAUAUAAUUAUAUAUGAUAUAACAUUAAGAUUCUUUUUUUUUUGUCGUAAUACAUAGAAUUGUUCGUACUAUUAUUAUAACAAAAUAAUUAAAAUUUAUGAGUUGAAGUUGUCAGAAAAAUAAACUUAUUUCCAAUGAAUGGCAUUUGGAGGAACAAAAUCAAUCCGGAAGUUUUUUACGCGGAAAAAAUCAAUUAACAUUAAUGACGUCCAAAUGUCCAAAUAUGGUGAGAAAUUGAAUUCUUCAAAACCUUGCUGUUUCUUCAUAUUUCUUUACAAAUUUACCGAUUCUUUACUCUAAAUUCUAGUAUUAGUCUUCAUACAUACAAUGGAAACUUAUUCUCUAAGAUACUGUAAAAAAAAAAAAAAAAAUUAACAAAACCUAAUAAUUUCAUAGUGCGCAAGCUAAUAUCAUAGCUAAAAUGAAGUUGGUAAAUUUUGAUAUAACUAUCUAUUAUGAAUGAUAAUUACGUGGGCCUAAACGUUCCAACUUCCGAAUACAUUAUUCUAUAUUUUGGAGAGAAAAAGGAAAAGGCAAAAUCUUUUAGAUAAGAAAAAAAAACUUUUUUUUUUCCUCAUGAAAAAGCAAUUGAAUUAAAAAGUAAAAAUUUCUUUACAUUUUCGCCGGAGAAACAGAGUCAAAUUCAAAUACGACGACUCAAGCGCAAAAGCCUAUAAAUAAAGCCCGGCUCCAGUUCCCUGUCAGAGGCUACGGAUUUGAGAGAUUAAAGAACAUCAACCGAACAGUGAGACUCCGUACUCUUGACACAAACUUGCAAAAACUUUUAGGUAAUUUUUUUCGAUUAAUUUUUUAAUUUUCGAGAAUAAAGAGAGAGAGAAAAAAAAAAAAACAGAUGGGAUUAUGUUUGUCUGGGAGUGAUGUGAGGGGAGGGAAACAAGCCGUAGGUGGGGCCCACCUCCGGCCCACCAGCGCGGCUGAUCACCACAAUGUCUCUGGUCAAAAUGACGCCGUUGAUUUCUUCUUCAAAUCUCGCGGCCUUCAUGCCCUUUUCACCCAAAUCGAGGUAUAUGUGUGUACCUGAAUUAUAUGAGUCUUUCACUGCCAUUAUUAAUAAACUAUUUUCAGUUAAUUAAUUAAUUAAUUAAAAAUCUAUGAUUAGUUUAUGUUUUUUAAUUUAUUUAUAAUUUUUUAAAUCUGAUUUCGUUCAUGUUGGUAAUUGUGAUGGAUUCUCAAAUGGUCACUCUUUUGAAAAUCUAUUAUCAAAUUAUGUUUGUUAUUAUUACUUAUUUGAUGACUUUUCAGUGUAACAUCGAACAACUUAAAUCAUUUAUAUUUGAUAAAAGUUAUUUGAUAAUUCGAACAUAACUAGAGAGUAGAUUCCUAUUCAAGAAUCAACCGCAAUCCCAAACAUGCCUUUUUUUUUUUAAUUUGUUCUGGUGGCUGAUCUUUUGCUAGUGUUGGUUCGACGGUUUCACACCAAGCAACUGCUUUUGUUUUGCAUAUGGAGAACAGUAAGUUUAACUGCUUAUACCCAAUGAUAACAUUCUGUGAAGUGAAUUUUAGAUUAAGAUUGGUUAAGGUAAAUAAAAAAAGAAUGGUGUUGAAUGCACAGUGGCCUUGUGAACAUUGAAAAAGUCGAUGUUUGAUCCUGUUGAAUGCACAGUGGUUUUCCUGUGUAUCCUCAAAGUUGACUAUUCUGUUAUGCCUCAUUUAUCAAAUUUGACUCAUACCCCUCGUGAUCAAAUUUGACUUAUACCCCUCGUGAAGAUUCCCCAUGAUAAUGCUCCCCUGAUUGGAACAUGAUUUUGUGAAUGCUGGUUUGCAUAAGACAAACCAUUAACUUUAUAAAAGAUUGUGGAUUAAGGAUUUUGUUGUUACGAGGAUAAGAAUGUCUUUCCAUAACGUAGACCACCAAGUGAUUGUAAUAUUCCUGUAUUGAUGUGGACCUUACCUGAGGAUCUCCUUGCAAACUUUCCUGGAGAAAAGGCAACAAGUCAUAUGAUAACAAAUUAAAUGUGGUUCAAUGCUUGUAAUUGACGUGUCACAUCCUGUUGUUAUAUAAAACUUAAUUACAUAUAUUAUUGCUUGCUGCUUAUAAGAUUUAAUAUUAGAAGUGAUUCUGUCAGAAUCCGAAAUGAUGGUUUUCUGCAUGUUCUGUUUAUGACAGAUAUAUAUUGCCUGUCAGUUGACCCACAUCGUACUGACAAUUUUCAUUUCGUGCAGCAUAUGCAUGGAUUACUCCUUUUCCGCUUUUUCAUGUAUCUGUAUUCGUUCUUAUGUUUUUGAAUAUGUAUUGCAGUUAUCUUUAUCUGCUUCAAAGUUACGUGAUCUUGACAUCGCAUCAAAGGUACGCCUUCAUAUCAUUGUUGUCUUAUGUCUGAUAAUGCCAUGUUCAUGCUGUUGAUAGUCUUGGUGAUUGAUUCUCAUGUUAUCUUGUAUCCUCCUUAUAUGAUCUGCUUAUUUGUUCAUAAUGGCCCUGUCAAUUUCCUUUCUCUGUUCAUAAAGGGUCUAGGGAUAUAUGAUCUGAAUAACGCUUAGUGCUGGCACCAAAAUUCUAAACUUAGACAAAGAAGAAUAGUUUGUUAUAUACACUGUCUAUCUCCAAUGUAAUCCAGUAAGGAGCAGUAACUUGAGAGUUCCAGAUAAUGUAUAACAAGUCAUGGUCGGUGGUUUUAUUGUUUUUGCAAUUUUGAGCACUAGUCAAAUAUGUUAUAUGUGCAAGAUAAAAUUCUUUGAUAAUGAACAUUUAUCAGCCGUAUAUCUUUUUACUGGCUGAUACUAGCAUACAUAAAAUGCUGCUGUAUUUUAACAAUGGAUUACUAACUAAAGUUAUUUAACUAAUAAAUGUCUAUAUUUAUAUGACAACUAAAGUUAUUUAACUAAUAUAUGUCUAUAUUUAUAUGACAUAAGUGGAUACAUACCCAUAUGCCUUCUGUUUUUUUUUUUUAAUUUUUAUAUUCACAAGCAAAUGUAUUUACAUGUCUUUUUGUGUCAUAGAGUGAUCCCAUGGCAGUUGUGUAUGCAAAGAAAAGAGAUGGGAGGCUGGACGAGAUUGGACGUACAGAGGUGAUUAUGAACAAUCUGAAUCCUGCUUGGAUUGGAAAGAUUUCAAUUGCUUUUCAGUUUGAGAUUGUCCAGCCCUUGGUGUAAGUUUUUAGUGUGUUCUUUUUAAAGUUUUUUUUUUCUUGAUAGGUCAUGCGCUUAAGCCUUGCUUGAUUUGAUAAUAUUUAAUGUUUUCGAAUUUCUUAAUGCUUUUCUUCUUUUUCCAGCUUUCGUGUGUAUGAUGUGGAUACCAAGUACCACAAUAUUCCAGUGAAGGUAUAAAAUUUCUUAAUUAUUUUUUUUCUCUCAAUUCAGAUGUAAAUGAUACGCACAUACUUCAGUUCCAAAGUUUAGAGUUAGCCAAGGCAUUUGACUGAUCCAUUUGUUGUCUAAGCAUACGUCUAAACUAAAUUGCAUCAGCAAUAGUUUCUAUCAAUUUCGGGAAAUUUGGGAAUACUUGAUUGAUUAUAAACUAACAUUUAGCAUGGAAAGAAACUUAAAAAGUUGGCUGUCAUAUACCAUAAACAAAUCUUAAGGCCAGGGUAGUUAUUAUGGAACUUUCUGCUAUUGCAUCUUGCAAGGUUUGACAUAUUUGUCCUGCUACCAUAACUGGGAAAGAACAAUUUUUCUGAUGGUCCUUACGGAUAAAUUUUCUUUUUUCCAAAAUGGAAUUUUGAUCUAUGUUGUUAAAAACAAUACAGUUAAAUAGUUGCUGCCAUGACCUAAAGAAGUUUCUGUAAAAAAUGACCAUAUUGUCAUUAUUGAAAUGGAUAAGUAAAUCUUUAGAGCCUAUGAUGUAUUCGUCUGUGGAAUUUGAGUCAAAAUGAAAAAAUUUUGAUGGUUAUAAUCCUAGAAACUGUAAUCAUUUGGAAGCAUUUGCUGAAAACAGUUAGAUAAUCUAAAAAUGUGAUGAUUAUUUAUGUCAAUUGUAAAUGGUAUUAACAUUACUGGGAAAAAUGAUAAAUAUGUAAAUUUAUGCCAGUGGAAAGAGAAAAUGAACAAAUCCAGAUGGAUUCUAAGACAUUAAGUAGGAAAUCUAUUGUUCUUUUGAUUCUUUGCUGCAGUGAUCCCUAAUUACUUUCAAGUCAUUAUUAUCUCAUGACAAAAUAUUUGUUGAAGUGUGAAGUUUAAAGCUCAAACUUCUUAUUUACAUUGCCCUGCAGAUGCUAAAGUUGGAGGAUCAAGACUUCCUGGGAGAAGCUAGCUGUGUUCUCUCUGAGGUAAGUUUCUGGGUUAUAUUUUGUUUGAUGAAUUUAUGUAUUUUCUCUUUAUCCAAUGGGCAAAAUAUGCCCAUCUAAUUUUCUGUAAAAAUCUGUUUCCUAUCAAAAAAAGGGAAAAAUAUUCUCAGAUGAUUUUUACUAGCAUUCGUCUUCUUCUUUAGCAUUCUUCUUUUGCACUAACAAGUGUCAUAUUUUCCUUUUAAAUGGCAGAUAGUGACCAAACAAAAUCGAACUUUAACCUUAAAACUCCAUAACAAUUAUGGACUUCGAGUUUCAAGAAACUUUGGGACACUCUCUGUCCAUGCUGAGGAAACAGUUGCUUCCAAGAGUGCUGUUGAAAUAGCAUUCUGUUGCUCGCAUUUGCAAAAUGUAGACCUGUUUUCCAAAAGUGUAAGUUCUGACAAAGUAGCUAAGUUUGGAGGUUCACUAAUUAAUCUAUUAAUUUAGAUGCUAUUUCUUCUUCUUCUUAUAUUCUAUAGGAUCCAUUCUUAAGAAUAUCUAGAAUUGUUGAGAGUGGAAAUUCUGUUCCUAUCUACAAGACGGAGGUGAUAAACAAUAACUUGAAUCCCAUUUGGAGACCAAUAACUUUGAGCAUGCAACAAUUUGUGAGCAAGGUAACCUUGUCAUCUUCUUGUGUUUGUUACUUGAAUGUAUAAUAGGUAGUGAAGUUUGGUCAUGGGGAAAUGUUUUUUAGUUUAUGAUUCUCUUUGGUACAGGAAAACCCAUUAAUCAUUGAAUGUUUUGAUUUCAAUACCAGUGGAAAUCACGUACUGAUGGGGUAACUGUUAAAUUUCUUAAUGUCAUCAGCUUCCCUCUUUUAUCCUUUUGCCUUUCUGAUGUCAAGGUUUUCUAUUUCUGUUAUUAGUAAAAUUCAGAAAUCAGUUGGAGACCUGGAGAAACUUCAUCAAGAAAGAACUGGUGCAACUUUUAUAUUACCAUCAACUCAACGUGGCCAUGACAAGGUGUUUAUUCUUUUUUGUUUUAACUCCACCAAAGGUGUUUGUUCAUGCUUACGGUUUUUGAUAAUUUAAUAUCACUUUAUUUUUUAUCUGACUUUUUCCUAGGUUCUGAAAAGUCAGUUGUUUGUUGAAAAGUUUGUUGAGAAAGAGCAAUAUAGUUUUCUGGAUUACAUAUCUAGUGGCUUUGAGUUGAAUUUUAUGGUUGCAGUCGACUUUACAGGUAAUUAGAAAGAGAUUACUUGUUGAAGAUAAAUUUGCAAUAUAAUCUUUUUGUUUUGUUUAUUUCCUCUUAUUUGGUCCAAUUUCAUCUGGUCUCUCAUUAAAUGCAAAAUCAUCCAGCUUCAAAUGGAAAUCCUCGAAAUCCAAAUUCUUUGCACUAUAUUGAUCCUUCAGGCAGAUUGAAUUCUUACCAGCAGGUAAGGCUUUGUUAUGACUCACACUUUGACAAGUGAUCUCUGAACUCUGAAGGUCAUAAAAUGGUCUUUUUGUCCAGUGUUUUCGACUUAGAAAAUGCCUGUGAUUUUCAAGUCUUUCUAUGGCCAUCAUAGUGAAAUACAUAUUUCAAUAGUUUGUAGAAGUUGAGAGAGACUAUCACUGAUUAGUUCUUGGCCUCUUCAACCAUUUACAGGCAAUAACGGAAAUUGGGGAGGUCAUACAAUUUUAUGAUUCUGAUAGACGCUUUCCUGCAUGGGGAUUUGGAGGGAAGACAUUUGAUGGCACUGUAUCACAUUGUUUUAACUUGAAUGGAAGAGCAGGUGGCUUUGAGGUAGGGGUAGCUGGAAUUCGCAACGUUGCUAUAAUCCUCAUUUGGUUGGCUUGUCUCCCAUAACUUUUCAUUUUUAAUAACAAACAAUAUAAUAUGUUUCUACAUUUUUUUUAAAAUUUCCUUGGAAUUAUAUCCUAAAAGAUGUGUAUUUUGUCCUCUUCCAUUUUUUCAUUAACUGCGUUUCUUUAUUUAAUAGGUAGAUGGAGUUGAAGGCAUUAUGGCUGCUUAUGCAAGCGCUCUAAACAAUGUUGCUUUGGCAGGACCGACUCUGUUUGGUCAAGUGAUCAACACAGCUGCACGAAUUGCUGGACAGUCCCUCUCAUACGACAGAAGCAAGUAUUUUGUCUUACUCAUUAUAACGGUGAUUACAAUGAUUCUAUAUAUUCACAGUUUUCUCUUUGUAUCAUUCUUUUUGGGUGAUUUGUAAAUUUGCAUUAUCUAUUUAGGAUGGAGUUCUGACAGAUCUCCAAGAAACAAAAGAUGCUUUGGUAAGGGCUUCUGAUCUUCCCCUGUCAAUUCUAAUUGUGGGUGUUGGAGGUGCAGAUUUUACACAAAUGGAGGUACGCAAUGUUUUCCAACUGGAAUAUCUUCUUACUAGCAUUGAACUUCUUUUUUCUAUAGUUUGACAGAUUCAAUUUAGAGUACAUAUGCAGUGUGGUAUUAUCCCACUUUUGUUGCAGAUUCUUGAUGCUGAUAACUUUGUUGGCAGAUUCUUGAUGCUGAUAAUGGCCGUAGAUUAGAGAGCUCUACUGAUCGGGUAGCUACCAGAGAUAUAGUACAAUUUGUUCCAAUGCGAGAAGUUCAUAGUGAGUGCAUAUGAUUCUUUGACAAAAUUAGUUCAAAAUAUUGAAUUUGGGAGUUAAUUCACAAAAGUUUCUGAAUUUUUUCAUGCGUUAACAAACGAACACAUUGUUUUCUGAACAGGUGGGCAAAUUUCUGUUGUACAAGCACUUUUGGAGGAGCUGCCUGGUCAGUUUCUGACCUACAUGCGCUGCAGAGAUAUCAAACCACUCAAUGUUCAGAUGGCCCAAACAUGCGCUUGAGUAAAUAUUCAUAUGUUUGGAAAGGAUACAAAACCAAGCUAAACAUAUUAGACAAAACCAAGCCAAACAUAUUAGGCUAUACAGACAUAACAUAGCAAAAAUUGAUAAUGGUACAUUACAUAUGUUAGGAUAUAGUGGUUUUAGAUGAUGGUAAAUUACAUAUGUUAAGAUAUAGUGGUUUAUAACUAACUUUUGAUGGCUUAAUGAAUUGAUUGAAUUUGUAUUUAGGUUCUAUCAAUUAUCUCAUAUUCUUCCCAUCCAUGUCUUUCGAUUUUUAUUAUUCCCUCUACCCACUUGUUUCACAAUUGUUUGUGUCUGAUGGCCUAAAACUCCAAUUUCUAUUGCUGUAUUAUCAUCUUUGUUGAAUAUUUACUACAAUGAACAUGUGCUGAAUGUCUACUUUUACUACUACACCAGCAAUCUAACACAUGGCUCACGUGCACACAAGACAAGUCUGAUUCACACAUCUUUAAUUUAGAUUCUUAUAUAGUCUUUCAAGAUGUCUGAAACAGCAUAGAUGAAGGACCCUUCCACCAUUCAACCUGGAAUGAUGUGAGUGAAAGAAAUUUCCGAAAGUGUUGUAUUAUAACUCUUUGAAACUGGGUUUGAGUAAUCAAGAGAAGCCAAAAUGUAGAACAAUAACAACAAAAAAUGAAGGCCCUCUUACCGUCUUAACUUUGAUAGAAAAUUCACGAGCUGCAUACCAUGUCUCACAAAUUUCAAUGAAAAUUGGCCUCAUUCCUGAUGCUGCACAGAACGUUGGCCUGAAUCAUCUUUAUGAUUUUGGACUUCCUGUAAACAACGAACAAAACAAAUUGAAGGUGAAAGCAGGAGCAACAGUUUUCAAAUAAAAUGGGAGUGCUUAAUCUAAUUGAACACUAACUUUUGGGUCUCUCAGUAAUGGAUACGUACCUUUGUUUCAAGAUAUAUCUGUUGUAUGGUAGAAUUAAGGUCGCCCUUCCAAGUCCAAUACUCACCAGACAGCCAGCGUUUCUCUAAUUCGUGUAAACUGGGAGUGCUUAAUUCUUUUCCAGAGAAAAUCUUCAUAUUGGGGCAUUUAUCCACACUUAAAUAUGUCAAAGCUGGGAACUUGAAGGCGCAGUUGCCAGAGCAGAAGCUUGUAAGUCUUCUUAAAUCACAAAGCUCCAAGUACAUCAACUCGCUGAAAACAAUUUCAUCUUUAGCAGCAUCUCCCUCAUCAGUUGCCACUACUUCUGUUAUCAUGCUGCAGUCAACGAUACUCAUCUCUGUCAGUCGUACCAAACUCUUUGCUGUCGAGGAUGUUAGCACAUUUAUCAAUCCUUUGCAUCUCCACACCUUCAAAGUUGUCAGAUUCUGAAACGAUGUUGAAGGUGGCACUAGAUUAAUCAAAUGGUCACAGUACUCAACUGUUAGAUGAACCAAAUUGUCCAUUUUGGACUCCUGGAUCAAAAUAUGCUUCAGAUCACAACAAUUGUGUAGAUUCCUUAUGAUUGCCUUCGUCCAAUUUUCUACUCCAUAUGAUGGCUUAACGCCCCCAACAUAUCCUCCUCCCCUUAUUGUGAGUUCUCUUAUGCUGUGAAAUCUCCGAAGGAAAUCAAGUGAUGAAAUAGUAGAUGACUCUUCAAAUAUAACAUCAAGAAAGUUGAGUUUGCAAAACAUGUCCGCUGGAAACUCAGCUGCCAUUGGUAUCUUCUUUCCUUCAAUGGUCAAAUAUUUCAAAUUGGGGAAUACCUGGUUGGAUGCAUGAUAAAUCAGGACCAAAAAGAAAACGUAACGCCAAUUAUUAAGAGUAAAUUUUAAAUCUUGUACGUACCUCUUUUGUCAAGUCAUGAGCAGUUAAAAGGAAUUCAGGACACUUUAUUACUUCUAAAUUUUCCAAUGUUGGAAAUUCAAUGUGCACAUCUCCUGUGCAGAAGCUUGUGAGCCUUUCGAGAUCUACCAUCUUUAGAAAUUGUAACUGAGGGAACACAACAUUCUUCCUUUCUUGCUGGUCUAUGACUAUUAUCUCUUCCAAAAUAGGGCACUCAUCUAUCUCAAGGUGUUGGAGUCGAAUAAAGCUGUUAACUAUAGAAGAUGAAAACAGACAUCUUAAUUCCCCACAGCCAUACAAAAUCAACCGGGUUAAAGUUUGAAUGCCACAAGACAUGGCUGGAAGUUGGCUUUUCCAAAUCCUCUCCACAUUUACAUUAUACAGCUCCAAGGUCUGCAAGUUUGGUAACCCACCCUGUUCACAAAACUUUCCAGCCGUUAUAUGAGGGGAGCAAAGUUAGUAUAUAAGUGCAUUCAGAGUACUUUUUCUUUCAUCCGAGAAUGUAUUUGUUACACCUACGUUACUCGGGAUGAAAAUUUUAAUAUAAUUAUGAAAUAUGUUCGUUAAUCCCUGAUUCACUCUAGCCUAUAUUUCCUAGGAAAGGAGAAUAUAUAAUAAAGCAGCUAAAAAAAAAAAGGAAAAAAUCAUAAGAAUAUGACCAUUGGAUCAUUAAUAUCCGACCUUGAGGAAAAAUGUAUUAGGAACGUUGACAUGGUCCUCCAAAAUGAUUUCAUUCGAUCGCAUUUCACUUGUCGAUUCCUUGCAUCUCUGUUUAGAACAUAGUCAUACUCAUUAGAAAUGAAGAAUCUGUUUUUGCACUGGCUGCUUUGAUAUGUUCGAAAUUUAGGAAGAUCAUAUCAUACCUUUGACUCUUUCGGACUGGGGGCUUGACAACCUUCGACCCAGAGAUGCUUCAGUUGGGAAGAAUAAGAGCCCAAUUUGUUAUUAACUAAUUCAAUGAUAUCUUGGUCUGGCAAUCUAGAUAAACAAAGGUCUUCAAUUCGCUGAAGUUGCACGAUAUGUCCACUCUUGAAGCUGAUACAAUUGUCGGUGCCAAGGAGGAGUCUGAAUGUUCUAGAACACGUAGGUGAGGUAUCCUCCCAACACCAACGUCCAAUACAUAUUCUGUACCUUUCCAGCUUCUCGAAGAACAGCCCCUUCCGCAGAGUGUUGACAUCUGGGAUGCAUAAUUCUAAGGUGGUCAAGUUAGGCAAACGCUUCAACUCUUCAAGGCUUGCAUUCUUGACCCCUGCAGCUUCCACCUCCACCUCCCACUUAUUAAAGCUACGAAUGUAUAAUUCCUCCAAAUGGGAUAAAUUUGAUAAAACAUUUGGGGGAAUAACCUGUAGUCUGUCACAGUCUCUCAAAUCAAGCGACCUUAACCGAGUCAAUUGGCCUAUUUCCACAGGCAACUGCUCAAUAUAAGAACCCCUUAAGCAAAGGAUUUCUAGGUUCUUUAAUUCUCCUAUAACAGCUAUAUCUUGCAAUUCGCUGCAAUACAAACACAAUGUUCGAAGGUUUGUUAGGAGACCAAGUGAUGAAGGCAGUAAUGAUAGAUGCAUAUAAGUCAAGUCUAAAACUCUGACUUGCGUCAACUUCCUGAAAAAAUUGUCUGGAAGUGUGAUUAAUGAAGAUUUCUCAGUCCACAAAGAGAGAAGUUGCAGUUGAGGACAUUCCAAAACUUCAGGAAGAAGAGCAUUCAUCUUGCUGUCGUGUAAGACAAUCGAAGUGUAAAACUUAAGCGCACCUUCAUCUAGCCAUUCCCGUGAAUUAACCAGUUCAUAUCUCAUCGUAAGCACAUUUUGUUCUCUGGUUGCAAUUGCUAUGGCAACAUCACGAACAACAUCAUGCAUAGAAAACCAAUGUUCAUUUUUGCUUCCAUGCUCAAGCAACAUACAAGAAGCCUUGAGUUUGUACACCAAUGUAUACACUCGAGCUCGUGCUUCUUCCAUCCUAUUGAUGCCUUGAAACAAACCCAAACCCAUGCCAUACAUUAACACGUCAUUAAUGGAUGAUAUGUAGGUGUAGCCUAUUAGCAAAAAGAUCUUCUUGAGCUCCUCUCCUUCUAAUUUGUUGUAACUCAACUCUAUAGCUGAAUAAGCGGCCGGCUGUAUAUCUUUAAAGUUCGUUGAGGAAGGCCUUCUUAACUGUCCCAAAGCGUCCUUCCAUUCAAAUAAUCUCUUAUUUCUCAACGCCCUCGCUACUGUUACAAUGGAAACAGGCAAACCUGCACAUUCAUUUGCCACCUCCGUUGCCACCCCUUUGAAUUCACUACUUUCGAUGUACUCCCCUGCCAUCUUCUCAAAGAGACUCCAAGCUUCGUCUUCUCUUAGAACGCCAACUGAGAAAUUAUGUCAGCAAUCCAUCUUCCGUGACAGUAUAUCUUCACUUCUUGCUGUCAACAAUAUUUUACACCCCGUGUGGUUAUCUCCGUGAGGAAUUCCUACAUCCUGCAAAUCAACACUUUCCCAAACAUUAUCUAAAAUUACAAGGUGUUGAUGCUGAAAUCUGCUCGCCUUUUGACCGACCAGAUUCUUUCACCAACGUUUAUGUUAUCAACUGUUGCUUGAACCACUGGGGUUGGAAUCGCCCUCCUUUCUCUUUCUAGACCUGUGUUCACCAAAAACGGAUCAGAGACGCCGGUGGUUUUGUCGGCGUAAACCCUCCGAUGCCUAAGUUAGCACAAGGUAUUUACGGGAAAACAGUACAAUUUGGACUCAAGAAUGGUCGCUAAUUUAUCCGAAGUUUUGUAAGAAAAUGGCCUGAUUGCAAUUUGGCAGCGUUUUCCCUCUCUCAAUUUUUUCUCCCCUUUCUUCAUCGAUUUCUUUCUCUUUUAUAGCCGCCGUUUGUCCCACGUUUUCCGUUUACCCUUUAUCCCUCUUUUUUCGGGUGGUGGCAGCCCCUCAUGGGGCUCUAACUGUUAUAUUGUGGGCAAACGUGGGAUCUCGCGUGUCCUUCAACGGUUCUGGGAAAAGCGCAACUACCGCGAUUCUGUGGGAUCGUGUUCCCGCUUUCCUGGGGGAUGAGUAUCGGCUCGAUAUACGCUUCUGGUCGGUAUUCGUCUCUGGUUGGUUCAUGCUUGCCCCCGUGUUCUGCUCGUACUACUUGGCUGAGGUGAUCCAUGCCGGUGUGAAAAUAGUAGCAUGGCCGACCUGAUGCUUUUAUUUACUUAACACCAGUCCCCCAGUUUCUGGUCUUGUGAGUGAAAUGAGUCAAGAGUAGAAACUAAUAGUCAGAUCUUGCCAACCCGGGGAGCUUCACAUCUGAUCUUCUGUUUACUGGGAUGGACCUGAGGCACCAUUCUUCUUCUGGGGAGAUCCCGACCUGAGCAUGGGCUUGAAUGAGCGUGUCCAUUGCCUAUCUAGGCUUGCAUCUAGGUUGGCCUCUUGUAACGAUUAGCGACGUGGCCUUUCCAGACUCUUCACAUUUGAAAUUUGAAACGACGGGCUAUCUGUCCUCGAUAUUCGGUGAGUGAGCUGGCAUCCCCAUCACUUAAAUGCUUUCAUUUCCCUUGUCGUUUCAAAUCCCUAGACUUAAAUCAUCGUCGUUUUGUUCUAUUCGCUUCUCUGUUGUGAGACAAUGCCUACGAACUUCGUUCACACUCUCCGCGUCUGGGACUUCUGUUUGCGGGCUUUUUUCUCCAUCACAGCAACAUUAUCAGUGCCAGUCUAUUCCAUGUACAGCCUUUAACUUCUUCUUUGGUUGUUGUUGAUUGGGUUCUGUGUUGCCCCUUUUUGUAUUCGUAUACUUGGAUUUGUUUUGGUUUCCUUUUGGGGCUCCGAUAUGUCAAAUCGGAAAAGGAAAUUAAUUGCCGAUGAGAGUGACGAAGAAACGGGGGAUUCAGACCUUAACUUGUCGAUACCCACUGAUUUUUUACGUCCCUCUAGUAGUGUAGGGCCUUCCCAUGGUAGGGAUACCUUUGAGUACCCACGCCCCUUGGCUGUUUCUCCUUCCCCCGAACUAGAGCUUGUAGGGAAUAGAGGUGGACCUGCGUCGGGCUCUGGUGAGAACCACAGCUUUGGUGGGGUUGGGGUCCCUGAAGGAGUUGGUGAUGGUGAGGGGAGCAGUUCUAGACCGAGCGGACCUUCUAAGAAAAGGAAUCUUGGCUAUAGGGUGGAGGUGGAUUCGUACCCUAUUGAUUUCAUAGCUUGUGCCACCACCCCCACUAAUCUAUUUAAGCUUAAGAACCUCUACAACAUUCCCAAUGAGGUUCUCCUGGUAGUUCCUGGAAAAGGUGAUGUCCCUAGUCGGCCUCCGAAAGGGUAUGUGACGAUGCACCUGGAAAGUUUCAAAUUAGGAGCUCGGCUGCCCCUUCAAUGUUAUUUUGCCAAGAUACUGGGCGGUAUGCACCUGGCCCCAGGUCAGUUACACCCAAAUGGGUGGAGGGUUCUCUCGGCGAUGUUUGUGUUGUGGGAGAGGUGCGGGUUGGAGGAGCCUUCCCUUGUUGAAGUGAAGCACCUGUACCAGCUGCGGAGUAGCCCAAGGGAAGCGGGCUGGUACUACUUUAUGUCUAGUUCCGCAAAGAGGAAACUGAUCACUGGGUUUCCUUCUUCAUGUAAAAAUUGGAAGAAUAAAUUCUUCUUUGCUGGAGGAGAUUGGUGUCCAGCAGUUCGGUCGCUUGGUGGGGAUAUUUACCUUCCAACACAUUUUAUCACCCUAGGUCGUUCAUUUUUGCCUAUGUUCUUAGUCAAAUUGUCACUUAUUGGGUUCUUUAACCUUUUUUGCUAUUUCAGAGUCGUGGGGUUUGAUUGAGGGGCUUGAAGACCGACCUUUGCUUCAGGUGGAAACUGCUCUGGUGAACGCGUCUACCUGCCAAGACCUCCUGUCACUAACAAACCUAGUCGGUUCGGGUCUGGUGGACAUAGCUGCUGGAAUGGAUAACAAGAUCCUCAGCGUGAUGAGCAGAAAGCGUGGUCGGGCUCCAAGCAGCUCCAGCAACCCUCCCCCUCCUCCAAAGAAAACCAUCGUCGGUCCUUCUAAGGCUCCUGUUCAUGCUCUGCCCCCUCCUCCACCUCGUAAGAGUGGUGGGGAGAAAGCUUCCGAUAAGAGUCCUGAGGUCAGCAUUCAGUCUGGGGACCGAUCUUCUCCUCUUCCAUCCCGGGAUCAAGAUGACUACCUGAGCCUGUAUCAAAAGGAUUACAGAAAAUCGGUGGGGCCCAAGAUGGUGAAGGACAUCGAGAGUAUGAACCUCUCCGAGUUAGCGGCUUCUGUUCAAAGAGUCUCCUUCAGGCUGGCCACCAUGGUUUCAUGCUACAAGAACGGGUCCACACGCCAUGAGAGGAAGCUUCAAGCUUACAAUCAUGAGUUGAAGAAGAGAGCUGAAUCUGCUGAUCGCUCCAAGGAAAAGCUGGCUGAGCUGAACAAGCAGAUUACGAAGUUGGAGGAGAAAGUUGCUGUUGCUGAGUCCACCACCUCCAAACUUGAGGGUGAGUUGAGUGACCUGAAGGACUCCCACUUCUACCCACUUGGUGAAGUAGUCUAUUGCCACAAUUGCAUGUGUCGCCGCUCCUCGGCCCUUAGGUAACGGACCAACCAAGUCGAUUCCCCAUUGGGCGAAAGGCCACGGGGAUGCCAUAGUGGUCAGCUUUUCUGGGGGUUGUGCAGGAAUCUCAGAGAAGCUUUGACAGGUUUUACAGUUCCUUGCCAUCCUUUUCGCAUCCUGGUGCAUGGUCGGCUAGAAGUAUCCUUGCCGGAGUGCCUUGAAGGCUAAAGUUCUUGUUGCCGAGUGAUUACCGCAUAUUCCUUCAUGAAUUUCCCUUAGUACAUAAUCUGCAUCCUCCUCAUCCAAACAUCUCAAAAAGGGCAAGGUGAACCCUCAGCGGUACAGCACUCCAUCUAGUAGUGUGUAUCUCGCUGCUCGGCAUUUUAACUUUCUUUUUUGCAUUUUGUCCUCUGGUAACACUCCAUCGCGGACAUAUGCGCGAAUCGGAUCCAUUCAGGAUUCUUCAGUGCUUACUCUCAUCACUUCUACUUCCUCCUCUAUACUUGGCAAGGUCCUUAUCUCUAGUGGGACCGACUUAGGUAAUUUCGGAUCUGCGGUUGCAGCCAUUCUAGCCAACAUAUCAGCUCGGUAAUUUUCAUUCUGGGAUAUCUGCUUCACCUCUACUUCAUUGAAGAGUUCAACCAUUUGCUUCGCCUUCUUCAAAUAAAGCCCCAAUUUCUCUUCCCUUACUUGGAAUUGAUUGCUGAGCUGGUUACAUACUAGCUGGGAAUCUGCUCGGAUUUCUACUCUUUCUGCCCGUAGUGCAUGUGCAAGACCGAGCCCAGUAAUGAAGGCCUCAUAUUCAGCUUGGUUGUUCGUAAGCUUGAACUCGAACUUUACAGCAUAGGAUACCUUGACACCUUCUGGGCUUCGUAUUAUAACUCUUGCCCCGGAUCCAUGUUCACCACGUGAUCCAUCAACCGUUACCAGUCAUACCCCUUUUUUAUCCUCCUACUCUGCUGGUUGUUCCUCUUGGACCUCUUCCCCUGGUUCAACACAGUUAACCAUAAAAUCAGCCAGGGCUUGGGCCUUGAUUACUCCUCGGGGCCUGUAGGAUAGGUCGAAUUCGCUCAGUUUCACGGACCACUUCACUAACCGCCCUGAUGCAUCUGGUUUUUGGAGCAUGUGCCGAAGAGGCUGGUCAGUCAUCACCAUUAUCGGGUGGGCCUGAAAAUAUGGUCGCAGUUUCCGUGCUACUGUUAUUAAAGCCAGUGCCCAUUUUCUCCAUCAAUGGGUACCUAGUUUCUGCGUUUACUAAGGCUUUACUAGUGUAAUACACGGGGUGUUGCUUCCCUUCUUCUUCUCGGACUAACACUGAGCUGGUUGCCCAUUUUGAGAUUGCCAAGUACAAAAACAACUGGUCGCCUUCCCUCGGAGUUGAUAGUAACGGGGCAUGGGCCAGAUACUCCUUCAGCUGCCCAAACGCCUCCUCACAUUCUGAUGUCCACUCCAUCUUCCUCCCUUUCUUUAUGGUUUGGAAGAAAGGGUGGCAUUUAUCCGUGGCCCGCGAGAUGAAUCGGUUCAAUGCUGCCACUUUUCUUGUAAGGCUCUGCACCUCCUUAACUGUUCGGGGGGAUCUCAUUUCUGUUAUUGCCCGUAUUUUCUCCGGGUUGGCCUCGAUCCCUCGGUGGCUCACUAGGAAUCCCAAAUAUUUGCCCGAGCUGACCCCAAAUGCACAUUUCUCUGGGUUUAGCUUCAUUUCAUACUUCCUCAGUAAUUCAAAGGUUUCUUCCAAGUGUCUCACGUGAUCCCUCGGUUCUUUGGACUUUGUGAUCAUAUCGUCCACAUAUACCUCCAUAGUAUGACCGAUCAAGGGCUUGAAGAUAUUGUUCAUCAACCUUUGAUAGGUGGCUCUUGCAUUUUUCAGGCCAAAAGGCAUCACCUUGUAGCAAAACAAACCCAUGUUAGUUAUAAAGGUGGUGUUUUCCUCAUCCUGCUCGUCCAUGGGUAUUUGGUUGUAUCCUGAAAAUGCAUCCAUGAAGCUGAGCAGACUGUGACCCGCUGUUGAGUCCACCAAUUGAUCUAUCUUUGGUAGAGGAAAACUGUCCUUCGGGCAUGCCUUAUUAAGAUCUGUGAAAUCCACACACAUUCUCUAUUUCCCGUUGGCCUUCUUUACCAGUACUACAUUGGAAAUCCACUCCGGGUAUCUGGCCUCCCUUAUAAACCCUGCUUUCAACAGUUUCUCCACCUCGGCGUUUAUGGCCUCGUAUCUUUCCUGGUUAAAGCAUCUCCUCUUCUGUCUCACCGGCCUCGCCCCCUUCUUGAUUGCCAACUUGUGGCAAGCUACGAUCAAUUCUUGGUAUAUCCUCGUGAGACCAGGCGAAUAUAUCUGCAUGAGAUUGUAGGCAAUUUACCAGCUCGCCUUUUACUGCCCCAUCCCUGAUCCAAUCUUCACCACUCUGCUCGGGUUGCUUUUGCUUACCGCAACUUCUUCCAGUUUCUCAACAGGCUCUUGACGGCCCUUUUUAGGCUCUCAUCGAUUAUCUAGAGAAGUAACCUGCAGUGUCUCCUUGGCCGCUGUAGCAUAACAAUUCCUUGCCAUCCUCUGGUCGCCUUUUAUUACGCCAACCACUCCAUUUACUUUGUAUUUCAGUGCCAGAUAAUGCGUAGAUACAACGCAUUGGCUUAUCCUCAUGAAGGGUCUCUCCAGUAUCAUUUGGUAAGGGCUUCUUUCCUCUACCACGAUAAAAUCCAGCAUCAUCGUUCUUUCAAACGGCUUUGUCCCUACAGUAAUUGGGAGUUCAAUGAUCCCCAUGGGAGUUAGCCGUCCCCCUCCAAAUCCCUUUAAGGAUGUAUUUGUUCGUUCCAAUUUUAAGUCUACAAUUCCCAUAUCAUCUAGAGCCGACUUAAACAAGAUGUCAACCGAGCUGCCCGUGUCUACCAGUAUUCGUCGCAAUUCUGUACCAGCCACCAUUGCCUUAAUUACCAGUGCAUCCUCAUGAGGAUAUAAGAUACCAUCUUCAUCAUCAUCUGUCCACAUAAUGGGAACUUGCCGCAAUUUUGCCUUCUUGGCUGUUGGCAAAUUGAAAAACACUUCUUUGCUAGUCAUGACGUAUCUCCCAUAGUUCUUUCGUGCCCUGUUCGAAUCCCCAGCCAAGGUUGGCCCUCCUGCUAUCACACGGAUAGUCGGCUGUUCACAUUCCAGGCCUCUCUCACCUCCUUCAUUCUGCGUGUACUGUGAUUCAAUGACGGGAGAAAUCCCAUCUACAUAUUCAUCCAAAUAACGGUUUCUCACCAAAUCCUCCACCUGAAUCUUUAAGUCACGACAUUGGCUGAUGGUGUGACCGUGAGUGUCGUGGAAUUUGCAGAAUCUACUCUUAUCCCGUUGGUGAGCAGGUUUUGUUAUAGGGGCUGGAGGGUAUAACAGGCCUCGUCCCUCGAUUCUCUCAUACAACUCCUCCAUAGGGACUUUUAGCGGGGUGUAUUGUCUGUAUGCUGGGUUUUGGUCAAUCAGCUGGACUGCUCGGCUAUCAUGAGUAUCGUCCUGAGCGGAUAUCGAAGGUAGCUGACCUGAUCGUCCCGUUCUAGGGUUGGUUGUAUGUAGUGCUUUGGGAGCGUUGUGAUAAGGAUGGUUAGCCAACUGCCGGAAUUCUCGCUGCCGCUCCAGGAAUGGGGGGCACGGGGGCUGAGCCCGAUUGUGUUGGACCUGCUACGGUCUCUGAGCCAUAGGGUAAGGGCGAGAAUGAGCUGAUACUGCACCCAUCAUUGAGGACUCCCCGGCUCGCUUUCCCGACCCGCUUCCAUUUAGGGUUCUCAUUUCCUUUCGUCUCAGUUCCUCCAACUGUUCACUCUUUAUCCUUGCCGAUUUUUCUUCUUCAAUUUCAAUGUCUCUCUUUGCCUGCUCAUACCCCGCUGAAUAAUUCUGCACCAGGGGGCUUCUCAGGUUAUACCAUAGCCGGCUUAUCCUCACACCCUCCUUCAAUCCCCUCAACACUUGCGGGUGAUUGAAAGCUCCCAAAUCAAGCACGGCUCGGUGGUAUCGCUUUACAAAAUCUCGAAGGGGUUCUUGUUCCUCCUGCUUCAUCCUCAUUAAUUCCAUCAUAUCAUCCUCUGGGGCCACCGCUCCUAGGAACUGUUCGGCCAACUCUUGGCACGUCUGCUCGUACCCUCUGAUACUUCCUCGUAAUAGCUUGCGGUACCAUUCUCGGGCUCGUCCCUCUAGUGUCAAUGGGAACACCCUACACCUCUGAGCUGGUGUUAACCCCUGGACACCCGUCAUGUCGUUGAAGCGUUCAAUAUGCACCAGUGGAUCACUUCGCCCGGAGUAUUUGAGGUCGGGGAAGCCGAAAUUUCUUGGGAUUACAGUACCCAUAAUCUCAGUGGAUAGUGGAGAUUCUUCAUCUAGCAUUAUCCUCCAACUCGGGGGCUUCCUCUUACCCUGUAUCUCCUCUAUCAAUUGCGCUAAUCUGCGCACCUCUCCCUCCAAUUCUACAGCACGGUCAGGAUCACGCACAACUAUCUGAUCUCGCUUCUGCUCGGCAUUCUGCAGCCGCUGUCUGAGCUCUCCUUCAUCAACACUGGCCCCUCGGACAUCAGCUUCCAGUACCCGCCCGGGGGGAGGUUGGUUCCUCCCUUCAUCUACUUGUUCUCCAGGAACCCGACCAAUGCUUCUGUGGGGAUGCACCCCAUUAGGUUGGUCCGCCGGCGGAGGGAUUUCCUCGACUCUACGCCUCCGGAGGCUGGGUUCCGCUCCAACAUCAUCUCUCCCCACGGGGGUUUCACAAUUCCUUCGCCGCUGAUCUCUCAGCUCAUACAGUAUGGUCGCGAGAGUUUCCAUUUGUUUCUCCAUCCGUUCCAAUCGAUCUUGCAUCACCCUCUCCCGGGCUUCAUUUGCAAUUUCUCAAAGAGUGAUUGUCUCCCCAGAUUCGUUAUCCUCCCUCAAAGAGUCCUUCCUUGGCAUAUCCAUAUCUAAUCGUUCGUUGUUUCUUCGGUAACUACUAAUUCGGUGGUAGCUUUUUAUCCAGCUUCCCCACAGACGGCGCCAAAAUGUUGAUGCUGAAAUCUGCUCGCCUUUUGACCGACCAGAUUCUUUCACCAACGUUUAUGUUAUCAACUGUUGCUUGAACCACUGGGGUUGGAAUCGCCCUCCUUUCUCUUUCUAGACCUGCGUUCACCAAAAACGGAUCAGAGAUGCCGGUGGUUUUGUCGGCGUAAACCCUCCGAUGCCUCAGUUAGUACAAGGUAUUUACGGGAAAACAGUGCAAUUUGGACUCAAGAAUGGUCGCUAAUUUAUCCGAAGUUUUGUAAGAAAAUGGUCUGAUUGCAAUUUGGCAGCGUUUUCCCUCUCUCAAUUUUUUCUCCCCUUUCUUCAUCGAUUUCUUUCUCUUUUAUAGCCGCCGUUUGUCCCACGUUUUUCGUUUACCCUUUAUCCCUCUUUUUUCGGGUGGUGGCAGCCCCUCAUGGGGCUCUAACUGUUAUAUUGUGGGCAAACGUGAGAUCUCGCGUGUCCUUCAACGGUUCUGGGAAAAGCGCAACUACCGCGAUUCUGUGGGAUCGUGUUCCCGCUUUCCUGGGGGAUGAGUAUCGGCUCGGUAUACGCUUCUGGUCGGUAUUCGUCUCUGGUUGGUUCAUGCUUGCCCCCGUGUUCUGCUCGUACUACUUGGCUGAGGUGAUCCAUGCCGAUGUGGAAAUAGUAGCAUGGCCGACCUGGUGCUUUUAUUUACUUAACACAAUGAUCUUUUUCUCAUCCUUUCAAUCGAUUAUAAAGACUCCUUGCCCUUCCAGAUUCGGUCUCUUCGAAAAAUAUGAGACCUAAUUUAUCAGCGAUUUCUCCUUGAAUCUUUCUUAUGUCUGGAAUAUGGGGCACCUCCACGAAAAUCACUUGAUCAAAGAACUGGUCUCUCCCGAACUGAAUAGCAACCUCUUUUGCUAAUGUCGUCUUUCCGAUGCCGCCCAUUCCAUAAAUCCCAACCAUGUUCACAUCAGGAUCUUGUAAUGCACGAAGUACGUUAUUCAAAGUGGAGCUUCUUGAUUCAAAUGCCUCGUAGUCUUUGUUAGAUAUAAGCCUUAUGUCCUCCAGAGCUUUACGGUAGGAAAGUCUAUCAAAUCUCCCAGCUUCCCCAAGUUCGACAAUGGCUUUCUGUUGCCUUACCGCUUCCUUGCUAAACCGAUGGCGGGUCUUCAAAUUUGGACACAGCCCCAUGAAACAACGCUUGUUUGCUUUAUCUGCAUCGCCUGUAAAUUUCUCAGCCUCAGUAAUGAUGUUGUUGACACUUGCAAGCCAUUUCUCAACGUUCUUUUCGAUCUCUUCUCCUUUUCUUCUACCCUCAUCAACCCCGUGCUGCAUACUGGCACCGUCAUCCUUGAGCUUCUCAAGUUCAGUCUUGAGAUUCUCAAAGUUGCUCCUGUAGUUGCGCACAAAACUCAAUUGUCUUUCAGUGGGACGACCCAAGCACUUUGCAACUUCUAACACAACAGUUACUAUGCUUUCCACCAUCUUCAAUUCUUUCCCUUUUCUCUCUCUUUUUUUUUUUUUUGGGUCAAAUUUUAGAAUUUUGUAAAGUAUGUAGAUGUGAAGUGAAGCAAACCAAAAGGAAACUGAACAGAGAAAACAACUAAAAAGAUGUAGAGAUGAAGAAGAAGAGAAGGGAUUUAUUGACAGAGUAAAAAUACAUCAGAAGAGUAGAUACAGAACAAAACAGAGACAAGUGGACAGGGAACAGAGUAAAACUAAAUAAAGAAAACAGGUACACGUACGAUUCGUAGUAAUGUUGAGAUCCGAAGAUUGUAAUAACUAAAGGUGUUGCUUGAUCCAGUGAAAGGUCCAAAGAGUUGAUGGCAGAAAGGAGGAAAGCUGAAUAAUAAAAACACUCAAGAUGAUUGAGAUGAAGAACGACUUGCAUAGUUGGGAGAUGUGCGUCGGACAAAUGGUAGCCAAUUAUUUGAUUUCUACAGCGGGAUUCACUGACUGUAUAUUUUUAAAAAAUUAAGUCAGCAGAAUUAAUUCUUUUCAUUGAAAUGAACUCAAAGGCCAAAGAGUGGACAAAGAAUGUGAAAAAGUUAUGCGAAACGUGAGGUGAUGAGAUAGUUAAGUUCACUGAUGCUCAAUAAUCAAUUUUAUUAAAAAAAAAAAAUAGUGAGAAUCCCAAAGUCGAAAGCCAAUAGAUUUCAUAAUGGUUAUCCCACCAGCCACCACCUCAGCUUCCACGCAAGUUUCUCUCACAUUUGAACAGUUGGCCCACUCCUCAGGUCUUUGUCGUUUCAGUCAACAUAAUAUCACAGAAAGGGUGUUGUUAAAUUCUAUUAUAAUGUAAUUUAUAUUAAUUUAAAAGUUGUAAUUAAUAAUUUAAAAAGUAGUUUAGUUAUUCUAAUUUUAGGUCACUAAUGAUAAUUUAAUGAUUGAUAUAAGUUACAUCAUAAUAUAACUUAAAAGGUCCGAACAUGUAAUUAAUUAAGGCCAAAAGUUAGAAUAAAGAGACCCCAUCCGCCCAUGUGCUUCUAAUUAUAAAAUCUUCGCAUAAUUUGCAAGACCGAUGUUUUGAAAUAAAAUUUGAUUAAAAAUUGACAAAAAACAUAAGCAAUGGUGUCAUUUUAGGUGAUUUUUUUUUAAAUAAAACAAAAACGAUGUCAUUUUUUAGCUGAUUUUAGUCCUCCAAUCAUUUUAAAAAUUUUCAAGCAAGUUACAGGUAAUUCUUAUUCAAUGAUUCAAUGAACUUAUAAUAAAUCUCAGCCACAACGACGAUGAUCAAAUAAUUGAUUCAGCUUCGCACCUAAGCACAUAGUCGCAUAAAUCUCAGUAUAAACAUUAUAUACUUAAAAUUAUAUCAUUUUAGGUUUUUUUUUUAAUUUUAAAUAAAACCAAAACCACAUCAUUUUAAAUAUAUAUUUUAUCAAUUCUUAUGUCUCCAAUCAUUUUCUAAUUUUCAAACAAGCGAUUCUUAUUCAAUUUUUACAUUUUCUGUUCACAAAAGUGAAACAGAAAAUGAAAUUAAAAAAAAAAAGAAAAAAGAAAAAGUAAAUAUUUCGAUAUUAGUUUGAAGGAAAAGUCUAGUAUCGUUCUUCAAAUAUGUACAAGCUUAGAGCUUGUAAUUUGUAUGACCUUUUUUCGAAGAUGAGAAUAUUUCUACAUUACACGCUUUAGAAAAACUAGAUGAUAGGAAAAGAGUGUAGGAUAGAAAUUAAAGCUUAAUAAUAUUAUGAUCAAUUACUGAAAUAUUACCGUGGGCACUAGAUGAUAGGAAAAGAGCUCAUUUAUUACGUUAAUACAUUGUAUUAGUGAUAUAAGAACUUUUAAUCAAACUCAUGCCCCAAGGUGGGAACAGCCAAACGGGCAUUUCAUGGAACAGUUGAUAUACUCGGCAGCUACACUUACACGGAUGUUUCUGUCCUGGAGGUUGCAAGUGUUGCCUCCAUAAUCAAACUUGGAAGACCCUUCAAGGUUUCAAUAAUUAGCUUUGAUUAUUAAGUAAUAAUAUAUGAUAAUGUAGUGAUGAUGAUGAUGAUUUAUAUAUGUGAUUAAAAGCUAAGCUAGCAGAUUUGCAAGUAAGAACACACGGCAAAGUAUUUGAGCAAGUACUUUUAUCUUCUUAUUAUCGUCGCUUACUUCUAAUCAAUUAGCUUUCACCAUCAAAUCUAAUCAGUAAUGUAAAUGAAGGAACUUGGGCUCAAAUCUAUAAAUUAAUAUCGGUAAACUACAACCCUAUUUUCAUCAAAGUUUUCAACUCAAGAAAUAUAUAGAUUAGAGAUUAGUUGUUUAUAAAAUAUAAAGGAACCCUAAAAAAAAGAAAAGAAUUUUCCAGUACAAGAAUAAUAAUUUAUACUUAUUUAUUGAAUAUAUCUCAUUUUAAUCGCUUAAGGAUUUACAAAGUUUAUGCAAUAAUUUAUUCUUUUUAAAAAAAAAAAAUUCACUUCUUAAAAAAUCUUUAGAAAGGAACAAAGCUGAAGAAUAAAAGCAAUUAAGGUGAUUGGGAUGGAGAAAGACUUGCAUAGUUGGGAGACGUGCGUCGGACCAGCGGAAUUCACUGACUUUAUAUUUUAAAAAGUAAAGUCAGCAGAAUUAAAUUAACUGGGAACGUAGGUCAAUGAAUGCGAAGAGUGGACAAAGAAUGAGAAAAACUUUAUGCGAAAUGUUUUGAUUAUUUGACUAUCUACAGUUGCUUUUAAUUAAUGACGAUUGGUUUUGAUUAUUUCACUUUCUUCGUACAAUGAGAGUAUUUUGAGGUCAUUGAUCGAAUAAAGGAUUACCAUUCAUUAUCUAGGGUCCGGCUACGAUGUAACGGUGGCAUGGUAUCACUGUUGCAUUAUCUAAUUUUCUCCCAUGAUCUAAUUGCCUAAAUAAUAGAAACACUUGUAUUAAAUAAUUAUUUUACUUGCUAGUAUUGUUCUUAAAAUAUAUACAAACUUAGAGCUUGUAUGACUUUUUUCUAAGGUGAAAAUAUUUCUAACUCACAGGCUUUAGAAAAACUGAAGCCUUUCUUCUUCUUUUUCUUUUUUCUUCCCCCCCAGCCCCCCCUUUCUUCUUAAAUGACAAUUAUUAAAUAAUUGUGAACGAUUGGGUAUUUAAGUCUAAUUUCUUAAUGAUCUAGGUUAUGGGUGUAGUAUAUAAACUAGAAUUGAAUAAUUAUGAUCAAUUAAUGAAACUCAUGUCCCAAGUUAGGAAGAGCUACAUGGGCAUUUCAUCCAACAGUUGAUAUGCUCGGCAUCUGCACUUAAUCGAAGUUUCCUGGAAGUUGCAAGUGCUGCCGGCUUUUUCAAAAUUGGAAGAUCAUUCAAAGGUUUUCAAUAAUUAGCUUUGAUAUUACACAUGUGAUAAUCUUGUGAUGAUGAUGAUUUUAUGUGUCUGAUUAUAAGCUAAGCUAGUGGAUUCGUAAAUAAGCACACGGCAAAGUAUUUAAUCUUCUUAUUGUCGCAUUCUUCUAAUCAAUUAGCUUUCAACAACAAAAAUAAUUAAUAAUAACGUAAAUGGAGGAACUUGGGCUCAAAUCUCUGAACUAAAAUGAUGAUCAUUAAUACCAAUAAACUACAAUUUCACCUAGGCUCCAGGGAGGAUCCACAUGUUGUCCACAGUGAGCAAGUGACCCGUAAACUUUGAUUUUUCCAUAAUUUUCUAUAUAAAAUAUUGAUAUUUUCAUGAAAUUACAUAAUUUCUUAUAUAAUUGUCUCCAAAAAAUACCAAUAGGUGCACAAACACAAAUAUGAUGCACACAUCUCUUUAAUUAAUUUAGGGAUUAAAGAGAUUUUCAGAUGCCUACAAAUUGAAUAUGGCAGCUCUUGGACACCAUCCACAAGAAGUAAAACUAGCUUCAAAUUGGAUUUCUGAGUACUCAAACAAAGCUAAAAGCAUAAUAAUGAAUGAAAACUGAAACAAAAAAUCCUCUCACCAACAUCAUCUGACUUUUAAUAUAUAGUAAGAACUCGAUGCCUUAUUCAAGAUGCUGCACAGAAGGUUGACCUGAAUCGUCUUCAUAAGUUUGGAGACUCUGUAAACAAAGAGUAAAAACACAUUGAAGGUGCGGUUUUCACUUAAUCAAAUUGCACAAAUUAGCCUCUAUUAAGGACACGGAAAUCCUUCAAUUCUCUCUGUAAGCAAUUAAUUUUAUUUUUUAUUCUUUUAUUUUUUGCUAUGUCUGUCUAACAACUAAUCCUCAACAUACAACAAAGCAGAGUAGUUAUAUCUUAAAAAGAUGUACCGAUAUGAUUUAACAAAAAUUUCAACAUAAACAAAACAUUUUUAGUCAGCAAAAUAGAAUCAAAUCAAAACCUCCCAAAUUGUAUAGAUUUUAUCUUACCACUGUCUUUCACAUUUUUCUCCUUUUCAUUCGCCUCGGCGGACUUCUCAUUCUCUUUUUCCUUCUCUUCCUAAUCAGAUUUAAAAUGAAUUUAUAAAAAAUUUAAUAUAUACUUUUUUCUUUUUAGUUUUUUAUAUAUAUCUGUUAUUAAAUCAGUAAGUUUUAGAAAAAAAAAAAAUCAACAUCUCAUAGUGAAUGAAUACUUACCUUUUUCCUUUUAAGAUAUACGUAUUGAAUGGUUGUAUUAAGGUCCCGAUCCCAAGCCCAAAGUUUAUUAUCAAGCCAGCUCAGCUGCACUUUCUGUAACUUGGGUGUGCUUAAUUCCCCUUCUGAGAAAAUCUUCAUAUUGGGGCAACGAUCCACCACUAAUCUUUCUAGAGAUGGGAAUUUGAAGGCGCAAUUAUUCCCAGAGCAGCUGAAACUAGUCAGACUUUGUAAGUCCCAAAGCCGCAAUUCCUUUAAUUCGCUGAAAACAAUUUCAUAUUGUGCUGCAUAAUUAUCUCCCUCAUCAUCCUCAUCUGCCACUAUUUCUGUUAUCAUCUUGCAGCAACCUAUCUCCAUUUGUCUCAGUCGCACCAGAUUCCUUGCGGUUGAGGAUGUUAGAAGGUGUAUCAUUCCAUGGCAAAGACUUACCUUCAAAGUUGUUAGGUUCUGAAAGGAUGUCGAGGAUGGCACUAGAUUAGUCAAAUUGUCACACUCGAAUAUCUCCAGCUGUUCCAAAUUGUUGGUAUUGGUUGACUCUUGUUUGAAAAUCUGCUUCAGUUCACGACGCUGGUUUAUUCCCCUCAUCAUUGCAUUCAACCCAUUUUCAAGGUUUUCAAGUGAUUCUCCCCAAACAAAAUCGUCUCCUUCUAUAGAGAGAAUUUUGAUGGUGUGAAAUCUCUGGAGGAAAUCGUCAAGUGAUAAAAUAGUACUUGACUCAUCAAGCCGGACAUCAAGACAUUUAAGUUUGCAAAGCCAGUCUUCUGGAAACAGGCCUAUGUGCUUUUCAUCAACGAUCAAUUCUUCCAAAUUGGGGAACACCUGGGUGAUCAUCAAUCACAAAAGUGGCAAGAUGGAGUUAGCACUUCUUUCUAACGAUUUCACAAAUUCAAGUAAAUACAAAGCAUUCCAAUGAUGCGUAUUGAUGGCCGGACAAAUUUAUAGAUAUGCGGAGAGAGUUUGAUUUUCAGCUGUAAAUACAAAGUAAAAACAAAGCAUUCCAUUUAAGUAAUGUGUAUUUUCUUCCAUUCUCUCUUCUUAACUCUUGUCCAGUAGAUAGAUUUUCAAAUUUUAUUAGAUUUGUGCAUAAUCUCUAUGAAAAAGACUUCAAUUAUUCUCAAAUUGCAUUUAAACUUUGAGAUUCUUUUAAUUGAUCCGUUUAUUUGGUUUGAAUUGAAAAUCUUACAAAUUUAUUUUUAAAAAAAUUUGGAGUUUUUAACUUUUUCUUAAAGCAAAAAUGAAUAAAUAAUAUGAAUUUUAAAAGUUUAAUAAUAUAGUAAGAAGCUGGUAUUUCAUUAAUAUUCAUCCAACUCAAUGGAAUUGGAUAUAUUUACUAUUGUGCAAGAAUGGAUUUUAUUGUACAUAAAGUUUAAUAGAAUAAGAUUUCUUAAUUUGAGUUUUGUCCAUCUCUCUAUAUAUAUUUUAAAAAUAUUAUUUAUGUUAACACGAGAUGACCAAUUUCUUCUUCAACAUCAAAAUUGAUAAUCAUUUUGUAUGUAACAAAAUUGUACUAAGGAGUACUAAUUUGGAAAUAGCUCUUGAAAGAUUUUCAGGAAAUUAACUGUGGCUUGAAAGCCUCUAGAUCUUAUGAGUAUUUUCUUUGUUUGGCUAAUCAAAUGCACUGUCUCUUUCCGUGUAUUUAACUAAAGAUGUAGACAUAAAAUAAAAAGUAGAGGGAGAAGAAAAACUCUGAUAAUUAAGAGAAAAAAAAUUGAACAAGAAGGAAAAAAAUAAUUGUUUACCAUAUAUCUUUUUUUUUUUUCAUUCGGUCUAACUGACAUCCAAAAAAAAAAUAAUAAUUAUGUUUGUAAGGAUAUUAUAAAGUAUAAUUAAACAAACUGAUUUAUAGAACUAACAUUUUGUUACUAAAAGAUGAAGUGAUGAGGGCGAUGACGACAAUAAAACUCUGAACUCUCAAAGUAGAAAUACAUUUCAGUACGUAAGAAUUGAAAAAUAAUUAAACAAAUCUUGCACGUGUACCUUUUCAAAAUGCAGAUCACCUGUGCAGAAGCUUGUAAGCUGCGGAAGAGAAUGAAGCUCAAGUGUCCUCAAUUGAGUGAGUUCAAUCACUUCAGUACUGUUAUUAUUGCUGGAUUCAUCUCCUCUCUCAGCAGCAAAAAUCACUUCCAUUUUUUGGCAACUACUCACUUUAAUGGACUGAAGUUGUUGAAGGCCUCUGCCUAUGACCAUCGGCAAUACAUUUUUCAAUUUAUCACACCCUUCCACCCUUAUGGUCUUUAAUUUGCAAAAAGACUCUGCUGUGAGUGGACCACGACAUAUUUCCUCAAGGUUCCUUAAAUCUCUUAGAAAUAAUGACUCCAAAAGGGGGAAUGCAGUCGUCCGAGCUGGCAUACAAUCCAUUGUGUCAACAACACAAGAAAGGUUGCCAUUAUGUUCGAUUUGGAGACCCUUCAGUUUUGGAAAGCCUUCUCUGUCUGAUCCAAAAAGAACAUUCUUCAUGUCGAUCAAUCCAUCUAGAGACAGGCCUUCAAUACCCUUCAAUUGCAUGAUAUGCCCCUCGUUCAAGCAAAUGUUGGCACCAUUUGUGAGCCCCAGUUUGAAUAUUCUAGAAAUCCCAUCCGAUGGGGGAACCACAAUAAACUGCGACAACUGUCCUAUAGAUAUCCUGUACCUUUGCAGCAUUUUGAAGAACGACAAGUCUCUUGAUAGAGUCUUUUCAUCGCCGAUGAGUAUUUCUAAAGAGGUCAAUUUAGAUAAAUUAUUCAACUCAUCAAGGCUGGCAUUUCUUCUUUCACCGUCUACUCCUUCAACUUUCCCCCACUCAAUGGGACUCUCACCAAUAUAUAGUUCUUCUAAUCGUGAUAAGCUUGAUAUCACAUUUUGGGGAAUAACUCUCAGUCGGUAACAUAGGCGCAAAUUCAACAACCUCAAUUGAGUCAGCUGGCCUAUCUCUCCAGCCAGUUCCUCCAUAUCAGAACCUCGAAGCGCAAGGAUGACUAAUUUCUUUAGGUCUCCGAUAAUGGCCAUGUCUCCUAGUUCACAAUCAUCUAGAGACAAUGUUUGAAGGUUUUGCAAGCGACCAAGCGAUGAAGGCAAUGCCAACAAAUGCAUCUUAGUGAAAUCUAAAACUCUAAGCUCUGUCAUCCCAGUAAAAAAUUUAUCUGGGAUCCUCAAAGAAGCAUGACAGCCAAUACAAAGGAAUUUAAGUUGCGGGCAUUCGAACCCUUGAGGAGGCUCACUAAUAUUACUAUUCUUUAAGGAGAUUGCGGUGCAAACCUUCAGUGUAUCCUUAUCUGGCCAGCUGGUCAGCGGAACAACCUCAUUUUCCACCGCAAACACAUGUUGGUCUCUUGAUGCAAUUGAUCUGGCUACAUCACGAACAACAUCAUGCAUUGAAAACCAUUCACUUGAACGGCCAUCAAGCAACAAACAAGAGUUCUUGAGUUUAUCAACCAAUGUAUGUGCUCUAUCCCGUGCCUCUUCCAACGUGUUGAUGUUUUGAAACAGACCCAAACCCAUGCCAUAAUAGAGUAGGUCUUCAACACAAGAGAAGAACGUGUACCCUAUUAGCAAAAAUGUUUUCUUCAGUUCCUCUCCGUUUAAAUGAUUGUAACUUAGCUCUAUACUUUUGUACGCCACCUGCGUUGUUCCAGUGAAGUUUCUCAAGGAAGGCCUUCUAAAUUCCAGCAAAGCAUCCUUCCAUUCAGACAAUCUCUUAUUUCUCAAUGCCCUUGCUACGGGUACAAUGGCAAUCGGCAAACCACCACAUUCCUUGACUAUCUCUGUUGCUACAGAUUUCAGUUCACCAUUUUGUAUGCAAUCACCUGUCAUCUUUUUGAAAAGACUCCAAGCUUCUUUUUCGUUCAGAACAUCAACAAAAAAUUUUUGUUGACAAUCCAUCUUACAAGAUAACACAUCCUGACUUCUUGCUGUCAGCAGAACUUUACAUCCGCCGUUGUCAUCUGCCAAUGGAAUUCCAAUCGCCUCCAAAUCAAGACUCCCCCAAAUAUCAUCCAAGAUUAUAAGGAUCUUCGUCUCUUUCUUCAAUCGUUCAAGCAGCCUCCCUGCUCUUACAGUUUCAUGACUCUGUUCAGCCAAUUCUAAGCCUAUCUUCUCAGCGAUUUCUCCUUGUAUGUUCUUUAUUUGCCGUGUUUGGGAAACACGUGAAGAAAUGAACUUCUCAAAGAGAUUAUUUUCCUUGGCCUGUCUGCCAACUUCUUCCACCAGCGUGGUCUUUCCAAUGCCACCCAUCCCGUACACUCCAAUCGUGUUGAAGUUACGGUUGCUGAGUGCGUCUAGUAUCUCCUUCAAGGUGGACUUUCUCGAUUCAAAGUGCAUGAAAUCCCGGGUAGACUUAAGCCAUGUCUCCUCUGGAAUGGUACGGAAGGAAACACUGUCGAAUCUCCCUCUUUCAUGGAGUCCAACUAUAGCAUUCGCUUCUCUUUCUGCUUUCUUGCUAAGCUGGUACCGAGUCUUCAAAUUAGGACACAACCCUUUCAGACACCGGUUGUUUGACUUCUCUUUGUCUUCAAUAAGGGUUUCGACUUCAUUGAUGGCCUUGUCCACAGUAAUCAUCCACUUCUCAACGUGGUGUUGAAUUCCGUCCCCUUUAAUUCUGGAAUCAUCAACCUUAUAUUGCACACUGUCUCUAGCAUUCUUGAGCUUAUCGACUUCAUUAUUCACCUUCUCGAAGUUGGUCUUAUAAGUGCAGCAAUAAGUAAAUGGAUGAAUUAUGGGAGCAACCAAGUACUCUGUAACUUUUGCAGCAACGGAAAUAACAAUAUCCAUUAUCCCUUUCUUUUUUAUUUUUUGCUCUUAGAAAACAGGGGAAAGCAAAACUAAUCAAACUGAGCAGAACUAAUCAAUCAGUUGUGAAGAGGGAAAUAAGAAGUUUGGAUAAAUUGUUAAAAUAAAAGGUUGAAUAGAUUUAAGGGAGGAGGAGGGGAAAGGAGUGAAAAAUCUGGAGAUGAAACAAAGGGGGGUCCAUUUUCUGCUAAGACAAAUUGAAAAGCGAGUGCAAUGAAAGAUUUGCAAAGAAGGUGUAGGAUCGAGGACAAGAACGAUACAGAAACGGGAGACAGAAAAUGAAGAAGAGAUUUCAGAGAACUCUAGAGAUUAGACAAGAGGGAUGAUUAGGAAAAUGCAGAGGCAGGCAGUUGUGAUCUCAAGUCUCAAGGGUAAUCUGAAUACUGCAAAAAUGCCAAACUAAAUUCAUACUGGAGAAGACUCAUGCUUCCAAGUCAACUAGAUUCUUAAUAACUGAGAUAGAUGGUUAUAAUUGCAUGUAAAUAAUGUCAAAGUUGUUGGUUAAUUGGACAGCGCAAGGUGGCAUUUUGGCAUUUCAUUGAAUUCUCCUGUUACCAGUAAGUGCUAUGCUGCCGUUGCCGGACUUUAUGAUUUUUUAUUUUUUUAAGAAAUAGAUAUACAAAUAAGGACUCGCCUACCGUGCAACAGUAGCACCAUGCCACCGCUUUUGUCUUUUCUUGGUAAAAUUUCAUAAAGUCCUUUCACUUAUUCUUAUUUGAACUUUGCUUCACAAAUAUUAAGUUCAUUUCUCCCAAACCCGUGAAUCCUUCAAUGGCCGAUCAACGGCAAAUCGGCUCCUCUGGUGGCUGUGGUUGGUCAGAAAAGACAGAGGAAACUGUGGAGAACAAACCCCAAGUGGUGGCGUCACUGGAAACCGGAGAAACCGCCGCGAAUUGAAGCAGGGAUUCUGUAACUUUCACGGCUUCGAUCGGCAGCUUUCCGAAUGCUUUACGGCGACAAGGAUGGCAUGGAGAUGACUGGCGUAGCACGAGCUUCUGAUCGGUACCAACCUUGGCCGGUGGAGUAGCUGGAAACGAAAACAAAAUCUGGGUCGGGUUUGCGGGUCAGGUUGACCUAGUUAUUUUUUCGACAAGGAUGGCGUGGAGAUGACCGGCAUCACACGAUCUUCUGAUCGGUACCAACCUUGGCCGGUGGCAUGGACGAAAACAGAAACGAAAUUCAGGUCGGGUUCACCGGUAUUUGUGGUAAAGAGAGGGGUAUUGUGAUAAAUGUGCAAUAUAGAAGAAAAAUGUAUAAAUAACAAAUAGUAUAAGGUGCUAUUAUAAUGUUAUAUGGAUGCAAUAGAAAUUAAUUUAAUAUUUAUGAGGUAAAGGUUAAAUAAAAAUGAAUGAAAGGGGUUCAAUGAAAUUUUACAACACUACUGACACAAAAGAUAAAAUCAGUUGUACGGUACCACGGUGGUACCGUAGCUGGAUCCCACUCACUGACAUUCAUGAGAAAUUUAACGGUAGGAAAAAGAAGUUAAAAAAAAUGGACAUUCAUGGGAAACCGGCUUUGAUGGUUAAUGUGCAACCGGAUGUGAGCAAAAGGUCACGUGGUGAGGGCAUUGUCACAUGGUUGGAGAAAUUGACAGUCUUUUUUAUUUUUGUCAAUGAGGUUGGUGAAGGUAGGAAAAAAACAAGUUUGGGUUAUUCCAUUGUUUUGGGAAAAACAUUGAAAGCGGUGAAAAGAAAAUGUCAACUACACUGUAAUGUCAGUGAAAAUUGGUCGGAGUUGUACAAAGAUCAGUUAUGAAGAAUAUUAGGGAAAUGAAAAAUAAUAUACUUAAAAUUAUAUCAUUUAGGUUAAUUUUUUUAAAAUAAAACCAAAACCACAUCAUUUUAAAUAUAUUUCUUUAUCAAUUUUUUUUUGUCUCCAAUCAUUUUCUAACUUUCAAAUAAGUAAUUCUUAGGCUCUGUUUGGUACAUUUUUUCAAGUAGAGUUUAUUUAAGUAGAGCUUUUAUAAAUAGAGAUUUUACAAAAAAAAAUUAGUUAUUUGGUUGUCAAUAAGAGUUUUUAUUAAAAAUUUAUAAAAUUACUUUAAGAGGUAAAUUUUUUAAAGUUAUGUUAUGAAAAGAAUAAAAUAAAAUUGUCAAUAAGGAGAUGAUAUUUUAGAUAUUUUAACAUUUAAAAAAAAUUAACCUCUACUCCCAAAACCUAAAAUUUGAAUUUUUUCUAAUAGAGAUAAAAUAACUUAUUUAAGUUUUAAAAGCUCGAUUAUAAAAACAACCAAACAACAACAAAAAUUAUGAUAAGAGUUUAUAAGAUUAAAUAAGCACUUAUGACUCUUAAAUAAAGCAUAUCAAAAGUAAACAUUGUCUUGUUCAAAAGUGAACGAAAACGAAAUGAAAAAAACUAAGCUUAUUUAAGUUUUAAUAUCAAAAGUUAUUUGGUACUUAUUCAAAUUUUACAUUUUCUGUUCUCAAAAGUAAACGAAAAUGAAAUGAAAAAGAGAAUGAGUCUCGGCUCGGGUGGCUAAUGCUGACAGUGGCUAAUGCUGCCGACAUCUUCCAACUUGCAACAACGUUAAAAAUACGUAGCCUUAAUUAAUUGCCUAAAUAAUAAAAAUAAUUGUUCAAUAAUUCCCAUUCAUCAUCUAAUUGCCGAUAUAAUAAAAAUACUUAGCCUCAGCUGACUUGUUCCAAAUCAUUCAAUAAUUCUUUUAAUUAUUAAAUAAGUUUGUUCUUGCUAAAUGCUAAUGGAUACUGAGCUGAAUGUCAAAGACGAAUAACUACAUUAGGAAUAAAAAUAUUUCGAUAUUAGUUUGAAGGAAAAGUCUAGUAUUGUUCUUCAAAUAUGUACAAGCUUAGAGCUUGUAUGACCUUUUUUCGAACAUGAGAAUAUUUCUACCUUACACGCUUUAGAAAAACUAGGUGAUAGGAAAAGAGUGUAGGAUAUAAAUUAAAGCUUAAUAAUAUUAUGAUCAAUUACUGAAAUAUUACCAUGGGCACUAGAUGAUAGGAAAAGAGCUCAUUUAUACAUUAAUAUAUUAUAUCAGUGAUAUAAGAACUUUAAUCAAACACAUGCCCCAAGUUGGGAACAGCUAAACGGGCAUUUCAUCGAACAGUUGAUAUUUGUAAGUAAGCAAGCACACGGCAAAGCAUUUGAGCAAAUAUUUUUGUCUUCUUAUUGUCGCAUUCUUCUAAUCAAUUAGCUUUGACCAACAAAAAUAAUUAAUAAUGUAAAUGGAGGAACUUGGGUUCAAAUCUAUAAAUUAAUAUCGGUAAACUACAACCCUAUUUUGAUCAAAGUUUUCAACUCAACAAAUAUAGAUUAGAGAUUAUUUGUUAAUAAAAUAUAAAAGAGCCCAAACAAAAAAAGAUUUGACAGUAUACGAAUAAUAAUUUAUACUUAUUUAUUGAAUAUAUCUUAUUUUAAUCGCUUAAGGAAUUACAAAGUUGAUGAAAUUUUUUUUUUAUUUUUUAUUUUUCACUUCUUAAAAAUUGUUGGAUUAAGAGAAUCCUCAAUCUUCAUUUACGUUCAGUGGUGGAUCCACACGGAGCCUAUAGUGGGCAAUUAAUUGACUCCCGUAAAUUAUUUUUUUUCCAUAAUUUUCUAUUUAUUUUUUAUAUUUUCAUGAAAUUACAUAAAUACUUGCAUAAUUGCCCCUAAUAAAUACAAAGUCUAUCAAUUUCAUUAAUUUUUUUUUUUUAAUUAUUGUGUUGUCCCUUGUAAGCCAAAUUUUUAGAUCCGCCCUUUAAAUAGGUUGUUACAUUUAUUGUUCUCAAAAGUGAUGACUUCUCCUAGUAUGAAGCUCCUACCAUAAGAAAAAGGUCUCCAUAAAACAUUUCGAGCUUUAACUAUGAUCUUCGGUACUGAUCUAACUUUUUUUAGUCCCUCCCAAAAAAGAAGCCUACACACACACACACAUAUAUAUAUAUAUAUUGUAACACAUUAGGACAUGAACUUGAAGCUUCUCAAGUGUUUAUGCAAUCCGGUUAACAUAUACAAGUUAUGAUAGGUAAAAUUGCUAAUAAAUUUAGAAGCCUAAAAUAUGGAAUUUGAUUAAGACUUACUAAUUAUUGGAGCAUUUUUUUCAUCUAGUUUUUGGAGAUUGAAAGAACUUAAAAUUACAGGUGAUCAUAUCUUAAUUGGCAGACUCUUGAUGCUGAUAAAUGACAAAAGUCGUAGAUUAGAGAGUUCUACUGAUUGAGUAGCGACUUGAGACAUUGUACAAUUUGUUCCAAUGCGAAUGAUUCAUAGUGACUGCACAUAUGACACCUUUUUGUCGAAAUGACACAAUUUCUCUUCAUUGUGCUAGAGAAAGGUGGGUAGAUUUCUGUUGUACAAGCAUUAUUGGAAGAGAUAUCAAGCCACUCAAUGUUCAGAUGGUCCAAACAUGUGUUCAGGAGGCACUAACAUAGCAGAAAUUGAGAUAGUUUUAGUUUCAUCAUACACUAAAAAAAUAUAAACCAGAAAUCCUGAUGGAGCGAGGCGUAGAGGAAGCGAAAAUUAAUAGGAUAGGAAACACUAGUUAUCAUUUUAGUACAGGAUUAAGCCAACGCAAUUAGGUUAUAUUCUAAUCGAAGCGUGAUUAGAUAUCGUUUUAAUCCAAACGACUCAAUGAGAUUUUUAAUAACACGUAAUGUGAGAUUAGAUGACACUCUAAUCCAAACGACUCUACAAGAGAGAUUUUGAUAGAUAAUCCCAGAGGGAAUUAUAAAAUGGGAGUUUUAUUGAAUAAUUGAAUUUGAAGUGCUCAAAACAAUGACAAGAUCUCUCUAGUUAUAAUAGAGGAAACCCACUUUCCUAAAUUAACCUAAAAGGGAAACUGAAUCACAAUUAGAAUGGAAAUAAAAGACUAAGAUACAUACCAUAAUUGACUCAAACUAAAAUAGGAAAUCCUAAAACAAUAAAUAUUCUAGAAUCCUAAAUCACCUAAAAUAACGUAAAUUAACUUCCUACAUCAUUCUUCCCCUCUUAAAAGAAACUCGUCCUUGAGUUUGAAUGCAGUCUGGAGGAUGAAACUUAUAGUGUAGGAGCAAAUCAUCUUGUAAUUUGAACUUGUAGCCUUGCUCAUCAAUCUUCCUUGAAACUUUGAAGUAUCCUAACUUCAUCAACUUCCUUCGCUUGUACAUUCUUCGAGUCGAUGACGACUUUCAAGAACGAACAAUGAUCAAAUAACUCUUGCACUUCCCCAAUUGUCGCUCAAUGCGCUCGCCAAUAAGUUUCACCUUUUCAACCAAAUCUUCUUCAAGCACAAUCUUUUUUUCUUCAAUGUGAAUAGGCAGAACCAUUUCAAUCAUUUCAACUUCUUCACCUUGAUUUUGUUGUACAACCUCGAUCGUAUUGUUAAGUUCACUGCUUAAAUUAAGAGCAGGUUAUAUAUCUUCUUAAAAAUUAUCAAAUAGGUCAAUAAUAUCAUUAUCUUCAGCACUUAUCUUCUCUUCCAAGGAAACAUCACGCACAUUCUCGAACAACUUGUCAGAUUGAAACCUUAAAUCAAUAAUAAAUUGUACAUUUUCUUCUGGCAACUCAUGCGAGUCUUCUUCCUUAACAAUAAGAGAACUCAUUGGUACAUCUUUGGGCACUUUCAUGGUGACACGCCAUUUCUUGCUUAAAUUCUGGAUUUCGUCAAGUUUUUUAAUCACAUCAUCAAAGUUUCUUUGACGUUGCGACUUAAUUUGCGAUUCGAUUUUCUUGGCUAAAUGAAUUGCAUGUUGUAAAUUGUAGAUAGUGUAUAUAGGCAUCCUUUCUUGAAUAUGCAAAUCAAGCCCUUUAAUAAAUCUUGUAACUGUGUUCUCUUCAGGCUCAUAAUAAUAAUGACAUCCAUAAAAUCAUUCAAACUCAUAAGCACAAGCAGAAACAUAUCUCGUACCUUACUGUACCAAACAAUAAUCAAGAGGAAUAAACUCAGAUCGUAAAAUAUGCUUCAUACAGUUCCAUGAUUGAACUUUGCAUUUGCCUUGGUCAAGUCGAGACAUUUGCAACUCAUCGCACCAUUCUGAAGCACUUAUGCUUAAUCUACUGGCAGUAAACGAGACUUGCUUUUCUUUAGGAGUGUGCCAAAAUAGAAACUAGUGCUUAACCUUGUCCAACCAAUCAAGAAAUUUGUUUGGACGUGUAUUUUGUAAAUAAUAUCGGCACAUGAUAAAUAGGAGGGCAAUGAUGGUAGCUUGCCAUUUAAGUUUCCACACAAUGGCAAAAUUGUAAUUAAGGCUCAACUCUCGGGUUUGGUAUGGUCGGCAGCUGGUGGCGUGAUUGGGACCAGAGGGAUCGGAUCUGGGAGAUUUGGUGAUAAGGAACUCGAUGAUGGUCGUGGAUCGGCUAGAUUCGCUGCGGUUUUGGUCGGAAAAUCUGACUUAAAGUGGCGGCUGAUUUUGGUGAUGUGGCUUUUGGUUUAUGGCGGCCUUACGGUGGCGGACGUGCUGGAUUUAUGGUCGCCGAUUGCUAGGGAUUAUGGUGGUGGUAGUGCAAAUUGACAGAAAAAAGGAGGUGGUUUGGUGGCGGCGCAUGUGUGAAGCACUUGUGGGUUGUCGUUUCGUGUGGUGGCUGUGGGCGGCGAUCAAGGGCUGAAGUUGGUCGGUGUUUUGGUUAGUGGAGGCCUGCAAGCUCGUUGGUAGAGGUGGCUGGCUGUGAAAGUGGCUGAAUGGUGGUGGAUUGCUUGGUGGAGCCGCGGGUUUGGGUUGGUGAUUUGCGGCUGUUUAGGCGGCGGUUGAGGAGGCGAUGGCUGAGGCUUGGUCGGCAGUGGCUAGCGAGGUUUGUGGUGGUGUUGGCUGGCUGAUCGGUGGUGGAAGUUGAUGUGGUGGCUAGGGUUUUCAAAUUUGUAAAGUUUUGAUUUAUUUAUUUUGUUUUAUUUUAUUUAUUUUUUGUGAUAGAUUUGAUGUGGAUGGAUAUGGAUAGUCAGGAAAGUUGUGCAAUUGGCACAAAACUGCUCUGAUACCAACUAAUGGAGCGAGGCGUAGCGGAAGCAGAAAUUGAUAGGAUAUGAAAUACUAAAUACCAUUCUAGUACAGGACUAAGCCAACGCGAUUAAGUUAUGCUCUAAUUGAAGCAUAAUUAGAUAUCCUUCUAAUCCAGACAACUCAAUGAGCUUUUUAAUAACGUGUAAUGCGAGAUUAGAUGACUCUUUAAUCCAAACAAUUUUACAAGAGAGAUUUUGAUAUAUAAUCCCAGAAGGAAUUAUAAAAGGGGAGUUUUAUUGAAUAAUUGAAUUUGAAAUGCUCAAAACAAUGACAAGAUCUCUCUAUUUAUAAUAGAGGAAACCCAAUUCCCUAAGUUAACCUAAAAAAGAAACUAAAUCACAAUUAUAAUAGAAAUAAAAGACUAAGAUAUAUACCAGAAUUGACUCAAACUAAAAUAGAAAAUCCUAAAACAAUAAAUAUUCUAGAAUCCUAAAUUACCUAAAAUAACGUAAAUUAACUUCCUACAUUAUUCAAUACAUCAAUAACAAGUGCACAAACACAAAUAUGAUACACUCAUCUCUUUAAUUAAUUCAAGGCUUAAAUACUCUUUCGGUUGAAUCCAAAUUGAACAUGGUAGCUCUUGGACACCAUCCAUGAGAAAUAAAACUAACUUCAAAUUAGAUUUCUAAGUACUCAAACAAAGCUAGAAGCAUAAUAAAUUAGAUUUCUAAUUACUCAAACAAAGCAAGAAGCAUAAUAACGAAAUGAAGAAAGAAACAAAAGGUCCCCUCACCAACGCCAUCUGACUCUUAGUAUAUAGAAAGAACUCGAGGCCUUAUUCUAGAUGCUGCACAGAAGGUUGGCCCGAAUCGUCUUCAUAAGUUUGGACUCUCUGUAAACAAAGAGCAAAAACACAUUGAAGGUGUAGUUUUCACAUAAUUAAAUUGCACAAAUUAGCCUCCAUCAUAACCAGUUAAUGCUUAAGAACACAAAAAUCCUUCAAUUCUCUCUAUAAGCAAUUACUUUCAUUUUUUUUCAAUUUCUUGUUCGCUAUAUCAUAUCUAACAACUAAUCUUCAACAUAACAAUACAGCAGAGUAGUUAUGUUUUAAAAAGAUGUACCAAUGUGAUUUAACAUAAAUAAAACGUAUUUAAUCAGCACAAAAAUAAAAUCAAAACCUCCCAAUUUGUAUGGAUUUUACCUUGCCACUGUCUUUUGCAUCUUCCUUCUUUUCAUUAGCCUUGUUGGACGUCUCAUUCUUUUUUUUCCUUCUCUUCCUAAUUAGAUUUAAAAUGAAUUUGUCAAAAAUUUGAUGGGUACUUUUUCUUUUUCCUUUUUUAUAUAUAUCCGUUAUUGAAUCAAACUUUUACAAAAAAUCAACAUCUCGUAGUGAAUGAAUACAUACCUUUUUUUUAAGAUAUAGGUAUUGAAUGGUUGUAUUAAGGUCGCGAUCCAAAGUCCAACAUUCUUCAUCAUCCCACCGUUUAAGCUGCACUUGGUGUAACUUGGGUGUGCUUAAUUCUCCUCCUGAGAAAAUGUUCAUAUUGGGGCAAUUAUCCACCACUAAUCUUUCCAGAGAUGGGAAUUUGAAGGCGCAAUUAUUGCCAGAGCAGAAUCCUGUCAGGCUUUCUAAGUUCCAGAGCAGCAAUUCCUUCAAUUCGCUGAAAACAAUUUCAUUUUUUGCUGCAUAAUUAUCCCCCUCAUCACCGUCAUCUGCCACUAUUUCUAUUAUCAUCUUGCAUCUACCUAUGCCCAUUUCCCUCAGUCGCACCAGACUCUUUGCAAUUGAGGAUGUUAGUACAUCUAUCAAUCCUAUGCAAUUAUAUACCAUCAAAGUAGUUAGAUUUUGAAACGAUGUCGAGGAUGGCACUAGAUUAAUCAAAUUGUGACAGUCACAUAUGUCCAGGUUUUCCAAAUUGUUGGCAUUGGAGGACUCUUGUUUCAAAAUUUGCUUCAGACCACGAUGCCGGUUUAUUCCUCUUAUCAUUGCCUUCAUCCCGUUUUCAACCUUUCCAAAUAGUCUAAAAAUAUACUCGUCUCCUCCUAUAAUGAGAAUUUUGGUUGUGUGAAAUCUCUGGAGGAAAUCGUCGAGUGAUAAAAUAGCUGUUGACUCAUCAAUCCAGACAUCAAGAAGUUUAAGUUUGCAAAGCAAGUCUUCUGGAAAUAGACCUAUGUACUUUUCAUCAAUACUCAAAUCUUCCAAAUUGGGGAACAUCUGGGUGAUCAACAAUCACAAAAAAAAAAAAAAAAAAAGCAAGAGGGAGUUAAAUCUUCUUUCUAACGAUUUCAAAAAUUAAAGUAAAUACAAAGCAUUUCAAUGAUGAAUAUUGAUGGCCGGACAAAUUUAUGGAUAUGUAGAGAGAGUAUGAUUUUCAGCGGUAAUUAUUUUCUUUUUUUUUUUUCAAAUAUAGUAAGUGAUGUGUAUUUUUUUUUGUCAUCCUCUCUUCUUAACUUUCAAAUUUUAUUAGAUUUGUGCAUAAUGUCUACAAAAAAGACUUCAAUUAUUCUCAAAUUGCAUUUGAACUUCUGGAUUCUUUUAAUCGAUCCGCUUAUUUGGUUUCAGUUGAAAAUCUUACAAAUUUCUUUUUUUUUUUAAAUUGGUUUUUUUAACUUUUUUCUUUUCAAGAGCAAAAAUGAAUAAAUAACUUGAUUUUAAAAAGUUUAAUAAUAUGGUAAGAAGCUGGUAUUUCAUUAAUAUUCAUCCAACUCAAUGGAAUUGGAUAUAUUUACUAUUGUACAAGAAUGGAUUUUCUUGUACAUAAAGUUUAAUAAGAUAAGAUUUCUUCAUUUGAGUUUUGUCCAUCUCUCUCUUUAUAUUUUUAAAAAUAUUAUUUUUGUUAACACAAAAUGACCAAUUUCUUCUUCAACAUCAAAAUUGACAAUCAUUUUGUAUGUAACAAUACUGUAGUAAGGACUACUAAUUUUAAAUAGCUCUUAAAAGAUUAUCAGGGAAUUAACUGUGGCUUGAAAAACCGUAGAUAUUUUGAGUAUUUUCUUCGUUUGGCUAAUCAAAUGCAGAGUCUCUUUCGUGUAUUUAACUAAACAUAUAGACAUAAAAUAAAAAGUAGACGAAGAAGAAAAAAUCUGAUAAUUAAGAGAAAAAAAUUGAACGAGAAGGAAAAAAAAAUACUAAAUAAUUUUGUAUUCAUUCUUUCUAACUGACAUCCAAAUCCAUCUAUGGUUGUAGCCGAUUCAAUAUUCGAUAAUGAGAAGAAUUAUUGAAGAAUGAUAAUUAUGUUUAUAUCGAAUAUUGAUAAUUAUGUUUAUAAGGAUAUUAUAUUAGUAUAAAUAAGCUGAUUUAUAGAACUAACAUUUUGUUACUAAAAGACAAAUUGACGAGGGCAAUAUAUGACGACAAUAAAGCUCUAAACUCUCAAGUAGAAAUACUUUUAAGUACGUAAGAAUUGAACAAUAAUUACAAAAGUCUUGCACGUACCUUUUUGGUGGACUCAUGAAUAGUGCUUUUAAAUUUCACAUGGGGACAUCCCCUUAUUAUUAAUUGUUUCAAGGAUGGAAAUUCAAAAUGCAGAUCUCCUGUGCAGAAGCUUGUAAGCUGCGGAAGAGAACCAAGUUCAAGUGUCCUUAAUUGAGUGAGUUCAAUCACUUGAGUGUUAUUAUUGCUGGAUUCAUCUCCUCUAUCGGCAGCAAAAAUCACUUCCAUAUUCUGGCAUUUUGUCACUUCAAUGGACUGAAGUUGUUGAAGGCCUCUGCCAAUGAGCAAUGGAAACACAUUUUUCAAUUUAUCACACCUUUGCACCCUUAUGUUCUUUAAUUUGCAAAAGGACUCUGCUGUGAGUGAACCACGACAUAUUUUCUCUAGGUUACCCAAAUCUUCCAGAAAUAAUGACUCCAAGAGGGGGAACGCUGUCAGCGCUGUUGCACAAUCCACUGUGUCAACAACACAAAAAAGGCUGCGAUUAUCUCGGACUUCGAGAUGCUUCAGCUGUGGAAAACCUUCUCUGCCAGGUUCGCAAAGAACAUUCUUCAUGUCCAGCAAUCCAUGUAAAGAUAGGUCUUCAAUACCCUUCAAUUGCAUGAUAUGCCCCUCGUUCAGGCAAAUGUUGGCACCAUUGGUGAUCUUCAGUUUGAAUUUUCUAGAAAACCCAUCCAAUAUUGGGUCAUCCGACCACAGAUAUCCAAUGAAUAUCCUGUACCUUUUCAGGAUUUUGAAGAACAACAAGUCGCUUGGUAUAGUCUUUUCAUCUUGGAUGAGUAUUUCUAAAGAGGUCAAUUUAGAUAAAUGAUUCAACUCAUGAAGGCUGGCAUUUCUUCUUUCACUAUCGAGCCCUUCAACCGUCCCCCACUGAAUGGGACUCUCACCAAUAUACAGUUCUUCUAAUCGAGAUAAGCUUGAUAUAACAUUUGGUGGAAUAACUUUUAGUUCGAAACACUUGCUCAAAUCCAACAACCUCAAUUGAGUCAGCUGGCCCAUUUCUCCAACCAGUUUCUCCACAUCAGAACCUCGAAGUGAAAGGAUUUCUAAUUUCUUUAGGUCUCCGAUAAUAGCGAUGUCUCCUAGGUUGCAGUAAUUCAGACACAGUGUUUGAAGGUUUUGUAAGAGACCAAGCGAUGAAGGCAAUGGCAAUAAAUGCAUCUCAGUGAAAUCUAAAACUUUAAGCCCAGUCAUCCCAGUAAAAAAAUUAUCUGGGAUUCUCAAAGAUGGAUCAUUGCCAAUACGAAAAUAUUUAAGUUGCGGGCAUUCGAAACCUUGAGGAAGCUCACUAAUAUUACUAUAAAUUAAGGAGAUUGCGGUGCAAACCUUUAGUUUUUCCUUAUCUGGCCAGAUGAUCUGCGGAGCAACCUCACUUUCCACCACAAACACAUGUUGGUCUCCAGAUGCAAUUGAUAUGGCUGCAUCACGAACAACAUCAUGCAUAGAAAACCGUUCACUUGUAUUACCGUCAACCAACAAACAAGAUUUUUUGAGUUUAUCAACCAAUGUAUGUGCUCUAUCCCACGCCUCUUCCGACGUGUUGAUGUUUUGAAACAGACCCAAACCCAUGCCAUGAUAAAGCACGUCUUUAACGCAAGAGAUGAACGCGUACCCUAUAAGCAAAAACGUUCUCUUGAGCUCCUCCCUGUUUAAAUGAUUGUAACUCAGCUCUAUACUUUUAUAUGCCACCUCCAGUGUUCCACUGAUGUUUCUGAAGGAAGGCCUUCUUAAUUCCAGCAAGGAAUCCUUCCAUUCAAACAAUCUCUUAUUUAUUAGUGCCCUGGCUACGGGUACAAUGGCAAUGGGCAAACCAGCACAUUCCUUGACUAUCUCUGUUGCUACAGAUUUCAGUUCACCAUUUUCUAUACAAUCACCUGUCAUCUUCCGGAAAAGACUCCAAGCUUCUUUUUCAUUCAGAACAUCAACAAAAAAAUUUUGUUGACAAUCCAUCUUACAGGACAACACAUCUUGACUUCUUGCUGUCAGAAGAACUUUGCAUCCGCUGUUAUCAUCUGCUAAUGGAAUUCCAAUCGCCUCCAAAUCAAGACCCCCCCAAAUAUCAUCCAAGAUUAUAAGGAUCUUUUUCUCUUUCUUCAAUCUUUCAAGCAGCCUCCCUGCUCUUACAGUUUCAUGACUCUGUUCAGCCAAUUCUAAGCCUAUCUUCUCUGAGAUUUCUCCUUGUAUAUUUUUUAUUUGCGGUGUUGGCGAAACACGUGAAGAAAUGACCUUCUCAAAGAGAUUAUUUUCCUUUGCCUGUCUGCCAACUUCUUUCACCAGCGUUGUCUUUCCAAUGCCACCCAUCCCGUACACGCCAAUCAUGUUGAAGUCACGGUUGCUGAGUGCGUCUAGUAUCUCCUUAAAAGUGGAUUUUCUCGAUUCAAAGUGCAUGAAAUCCUGGGUAGACUUAAGCCAUGUCUCCUCUGGAAUGGUACGGAAAGAAACACUGUCGAAUCUCCCUUUUUCAUGGAGUCCAACAAUAGUAUUCGCCUCUCUUUCUGCUUUCUUGCUAAGCUGGUACCGAGCCCUCAAAUUAGGACAUAGCCCCUUCAAACACCGGUUGUUUGAAUUCUCUUUGUCUUCAAUAAUUGUUUCGACUUCAUUGAUCUCCUUGUUCGCAGCAAACAGCCACUCCUCAACGUGCUGUUGAAUUCCGUCCCCUUUAAUUCUGGAAUCAUCAACCUUACACUGCAUACUGUCUCUAGCAUUCUUUAGCUUAUCGACUUCAUUAUUCAGCUUCUCGAAGUUGGUCUUGUAAGUGCAGCAGUAAGUAAAUGGAUGAAUUAUGGGAGCAACCAAGUACUCUGCAAAUUUUGCAGCAACGGAGAUAACAAUUUCCAUUAUCCCUUUCUUUUUUUUUAUUUUUUGCUUUCAGAAAACAGGGGAAAGCAAAACUAAUCAAACUAAGCAGAACUAAUCAAUCAGCUGGGAAGAGGGAAAUAAGAAGUUUCGAUAAAUUGCUAAAAUAAGAAGUUGAAUAGAUUUAAGGGAGGAGGAGAGGAAAAGAGUGAAAAAUCUAGAGAUGAAACAAAGGGGGAUCCUUUUUCUGCUAAGACAAAUUGAAAAGCGAGUACAAUAAAUGAAAGAUUUGCAAAGAAGGUGUAGGAUGAGGACAAGGAUGAUUCAGAAAAGGGAGACUGAAAAUGAAGAAGAGAUUUCAGAGAACUCUAGAGAUUAGAGAAGAAGGAUGAUUAGGAAAAUGCGGAGGCAGACAGUUGUGAUCUCAAGUCUCAAGGGUAAUCUGAACUUUAUGAUUUUUUAUUUUUUCAAGAAAUAGAUAUACAAAUAAAAUGAAAAAAAAAAAAAAAACUGUUGUGUGGUCGUGUGGGUUCCUCGAAAUCACUUCGGCAUUUAAUCGAACGAUUGGAUGUACUCAGCAUCUACACUUCCACGAAGGUUCCUGGAAGUUGCGAGUGCUGCCGGCAUUUUCAAACUCGGAAGGUUUCAAUAAUUCUUUUACUUUGAAAGAAAGGUUUCAAUAAUUAGCUUUGAUAAUUGUGUAAUAUACGAUAAUCUAGUGAUGAUGAUGACUUAUAUAUGUGAUUAAAAGCUAAGCUGGUGGAUUUGUAAGUAAGAACACACGGCAAAGUAUUUGAGCAAGCAUUUUUAUCUUCUUAUUGACACAUUCUUCUAAUCAAUUUGCUUUCACCAACAAAAAUAAUUAAUAAUUUGUAAAUAGUUGGAUCUUAAGCUCAAAUUUUGACAAUACAUGAAUGAUAAUGUAUACUUAUUUUUCAAGGGUAAACUCUAUUUAAGAGAGGAUCUCAAUUUUCUAUUAGUUUCUUCAAAUGGGCAUUUUAUCCAACAGUUGAUGUACUCGGAAACUUACACGAAGGUUCCAGGGAGUUGCAAGUGCCGCCGGCAUUUUUCAAAUAAUCAAGUGAUUAUUGAGUAAUAAUUAACUUUGAUUAUUGAGUAAUAAAUAUAUGAUAAUCAAGUGAUUUUAAUAUGUAAACAGUAGGAUUUUGGGCUCAAAUCUUUAAAUUAAAUCGUGAUCAUUUUAUCAUUAAACUCGAACUCUAUCUUGAUUAAUGAACAAAUGUUAGAAAUUAGUUGUUAAUAAAAUAUACCCUGGAUGUAAUGGCUAUUCCUAAAGCUCAAUUGAACCAAGAACACAAUCUUGAAGGGCCCAAGAACAGAUCCCAAACAAGAAGUGACACAAAGCUUAACAAGAAUCCAUGAUCAAACAAUGAACAAAACAAAGAAUCAGUAAAGAAGAAAACUUAGAGCAAGAGUGUUUAAUGAUUUGAUUAAAUUUGUGUUUAUUUCUGUGGAUGAUUUCAUUCCUAUUCUUGCCAUUCAUUUUUAUGAUUUUUUUUUUUUUGGGGUUGACUCCCGGAACAAUCAACCUGGGGAUGGGUGGGUUUUAUUUAUUUGUCAUGAUUUGAUUAAGCAGAGCAACUAAUACUUCAAAUCGUAUCACUGUUGUAUUAGAGGCUUCACGUAUAUAAACCAAAGUUUAACAGAUCUACAUAUAACUGAAUGAAAAGCUUAUGUAUUAUAUUCACUCCAUCAAGUAUGAAGCAUAUAAUCAAUUGAUCUACAAGCACUAGACAUACAAAAAUCAAAUGGUAGAAUAGAAUAUACAAGCAUCAGCAUUAGAUGACAGGAAAAGAGCUCAUUAAUAAAUUAUAUGAGUGAUAAUACUACUUGAAUCAAACUCACGUCCCCAGUUGAGAAGAGUUAAAUUAAAUAAUACUUUGGUGAUUUCAUGUGCGUAAAAUUAUAAAUUUAUAACCAGACUUUGUAAAGUUAAUGUGAAAAUGCAUCACAGUUGUACUUAUUAUCUUUUUUCUUUUUUCCUUUUCCAAUUAGUCUAAUACCAGUGGCGUGGCCUCGUGGGUCCUCAAAUUAUUCAAAUGGGCAUUUCAUCGAACAGUGGAUAUACUCGGCAUGUGCACUUGGAAGACGCGUUCAAAAGCUCUAAAUCAUGUUAAAGUCGACCAAAAAGACAAAACAUAGAAAGCGACAAUCCAACAACUAGGUAAAAAUAUUCGCUGUCACAAAUGGUUGCGUUAACGUGUAUAUUUGGGACAUCAAAUAUAAACAAAGACCAUGUGAAAAAGAAAAGCAAAAAGCUAGAAAUAAGAAAAAGGGAGCACAGUGAAAGAUCUGCAAAGAAGGUUUAGGACAACGAUUAUUAUGAAAACGGGACCAGAAGACGUAUAAGGGAUUUCAGAGAAUUUUGAGAGAAGUGGGAUGAUUAAGAAAAUGCAGGAGCAGGACAUUCAUGACCUCUAUUAGUAAUUUGAUUUCGUGAAUCAUUUUCAAAAAGAAAAUAACGCACACAAUUGGAGACUAGGCGAUGACAAUGAAAGAUCACAAUCCUGAAUCAUGUUAAAGCCAAUAAAAAGACAAAACAUGGAAAGCGGCAAUUGCUAUAUUGCGUUGCGUGUAUUUUCGGAUCAUCAAAUACAAACAACGACCACGUUAAAAGAAAAGCAAAAGCUGACGAGAUUGGUAAAGAUAUAUCAAAAGAAAGACUAAUAGAGCUUUCCCAGCAGCAUUAAUCAUGAUUAUUUGAUAAAAUAGAGGGAAUAAAUAAUUAUAUUUUUGGUGGAAAACAGAACAGAGUACGUUACAAGAGGUGAUUGCUUUCUUAAUUUUUUGUCAAUAUUAAACCAAAAAUACAAGUCAAUGAAAAAAAUUGAAAAUAACGCACCAUCAAGUCAGCCUUGGUGCAGAAAAAUAUUAACAUUUAAUGAACAUAGAGGGAUGAGUUGGGCCAAGUCUUUAAAUCAGAUCUGUCGUGGAAUAUAACAGGAAGAUUAAAAGAAAAAUCAAUCAACUAGUAUAUAAUAUAAUGUUUUUACAUUUAACUAAUUAGGAGACUGAUACACUAGCAAUCAGCAUUAAUCAAUUAUUUGAUAAACCAGUAAAUAUUGGAUAUCUCGGUGCAAAACAGAGUGUUGAGAGAUAAAAAUUAACCUGGUGUCUUUGGCAGGUGCUUAAUAUAAUUGCUAAGCUUGCCACAUGCCAUUGCCAACUUUGGCCAUCUGCUAGCUGCUAUAUAUGAAGCAACUCAAGUAAACAUAAAGCAGCCGUCGUGAGAUGAAGCACAACAAGGCUUGUGAUGUGAUCACUGAUCAUGCAUCCGGGACACUUUUAUACUUAUUUAAUUCCAAUAAUCAUAAUAAACUAUUGAAUUAUAGACCAGGUUUUCGUUUUUAUGAAUACAAGGCACAAACACGAGCAUAUUUUAAUCCUAUUUCUGCUAAUUGAAGAAAAUCAAGAAAUGCUGAUUCCGUCAUGCUUAGUUUCAUGUUAGUUAACAUACUGGACAGACCUUCCGAGGUUAUUCUUCGAAGCGUUUCAUGAUGCCACGUGUACUUGAUUAUUUGACUAAUCACGGUUCACAAGUUGAGUGAGCUAUUCACCAGUCACCAAACCACCUUCCUGCUGCAAAGAAUGUUAACUGAACUUUGACUUGGUCAGAAACUCAGAAUUAGUGGUGCACGUGAUGCUUACACGUGAGGACCCAAAUGACGAAUUCCAAAAGCUGAAUGAUGUAUGUGUGAAUUAAAUAUAACUAUUACGCUCUAGCACAUAUAUGUCACAUGUAUACUAAGUGGGUGUAGUGCGACGAAGGUGCUCUAUAAUUUUUCAGUGAACACAAUAUAAUCAUCAAAGUGAAAGAAAAACUUUUGAGGUUUUGGUGUAUUCAUUAGUGAAAUUUGAGCCGAAAAGAAAAAUUCAUAUUUGUAAACAUCAAAACCAAAAUCAUUUGGAUGUAGUUGCUGAAAUUGAUUAGGUCAUUUUUAACCUUAAAUUUAAGAUCAUUAAUCAUUGCAUGAAUGUUUUGAUUUUAAUACCAGUGGCAAUCACGUACAUGUUUAAUGAUUUGAUUAAAUUUGUGUUUAGUUCUAUAAAUGAUUUAACUAAAAAAUUCAAAAAAGUUUAAAUCACAAUUUUUAUUAUUAACAAUUUAACUAAAAAAUUAUUAUUAAUUAUUGUUAAUAGAUUAAUUAAUUACAAUACUUUUUAUUAAUCUUAUUAAUAGUAAUUACAAUAAACUAGUAAUUAUAAUUAAAAUUACUUUAGUAACAGGUUUAUUAAACCUAGACUCAUCUACCUUGCAACGGCUGCAAGGUACAACUCUUUUUUUUUUUUCAUUCCUUUACCUUUGGAUUUAAUGAAAAGUUAAUUUCAAUGGUAGAGAUUUGUCCAUUUGAAUACUAACAUUAUACUCUUGAUAAGUAUUAAAAAAAUAAAAAAAUGAAAGAGUUAAAAUUUUUAGCACAUAAGUCUUUAUUGUUUCUAAUUUAUAUUGUUUAAUUAGUAGUAAGUCUUAAAAAAAUAUUUUAAUUUUAAUAUUAUAUAAAAAUAAUAAAUUUUUAAUGUUAUUUAUUUUAUUAAAAAUAAAUAUUAUUUAAUAUUAUUUAUUUUCAUUUUAUUUAGCAUAUGCUUAUUAUUAUAUUUAUUCCUCAAAAAAUUAAAUAAUAUUAAAUAAAAUAAAAUAAUCAAUAGUGAAUCAUAAAAAAUAGAUAUCAUUUUUAAUUAAUAUUAUUUAUUUUAUUUUAUUUAACGUUUUAUAGUCAUAAACUUAUCAUUAUAUUUAUUCUUUCAUAAAACUAAAUAAUGUUAAAUAAAAUAAAAUAAUAGUAAUGAGUCUUAAAAAUUAAUAUUAUUUUUAAUAUUAUUAACUUGAUUUUAUUUAAUAUUAUUUAUCCAUAGGCUUAUAAUUUUAUUUAUUCUUUUAAAAAAUUAAAUAAUAUUAAAUAAAAAAUAAUCAAUAGUGAACCUUAAAAAAUAAAUAUUAUUUUUAAUAUUAUUAAUUUUAUUUAAAAAAUAAAUAUUAUUUUUAAUAUUAUUAAUUUUAUUUAAAAAAUAAAUAUUAUUUAUUUUAUUUUAUUUUAUAUUAUUUAUUCAUAGGCUUAUUAAUAUAUUUAUUUUUUAAAAAGUUAAAUAAUAUUAAAUAAAAUAAAAAAACAAUAUUGAGUCCUAAAAAAUAAAUAUUAUUUAGUCAUAGACUUAUUAUUAUAUUUAUUCUUUUUAAAAAGAUAAAUAAUAUUAAAUAAAAUAAAAUUACAUUUUAAAAAGUCACCAGCAAAAGCAUAUAAACUUAUAAAUAAAUGUAAAAAAAAUAAAAUAAAAUAAAAUUACAUUUUCAAAGGUCACCAGCUAAAGUAUAUAAACUUAUAAAAAAAGGAUAAAUAAGAAGGAUAGUAAGGGGUUAAAUAAAAUUUAACAUACAUAACAUAAGACAAAAAAUGAUGGCACCUUGCAACUGUUGCAAGGUAGCUGGAUCCUAUUAAACCUAUAUGUUAUAAAACAAAUGAAAUAGGAUUAUGCAUGCAGUUAAAUAGGUGUAUUUUAGAAAAUCUAAUUCUUUUAAGGAGCUCUACAACCUAUUCUCCUAGAAGUCCAAAAUUUAAACUUCUCCUAAUAAAGACAAAAUAAUAUUUUUAAUAAACUCUAUUCAAUUUAUAGCCAAACGAUGCCAAAAAAUAUUCAAAAGCAAAAUUACUCUCUUGAUCUAUUAGUAGAGAAAUCAUACAAAAUGGACACUUAAUGGUCAAUUAUUUUCCCCCCCCCCUUUUUUUGUAGUUUUACUUUUCCUAUAAACAUUAUUGUUUAGGAAAUAAUAAUAACACUACAUACUCUCCACUAACACAUUAAUUAAUUAAGAGUAUUUCCUCACUAGCGCGCAUUUAAUUAUCAAAAGUACGGCUAAACUUUGGUAAUUAAGAAAACAAGUGAUAUUGGUGGCAAACUGGCAAUGACAAGAAAAUUUUAAUACCACAAAAAAAAAAAUUAUCAGUUACGUAACAACUGAAUAAUUAAUUAUAAAAGUGUUGUACGUACCUUAUCUGUCAAGUCAUUGGCCGUACUUUUAUAGUUCAACACCAAUUUAGGACAUCUCACUAUUUGUAAUUCUUUUAAAAAUGGAAAUUCAAAGUGCAGAUCUCCUGUACAGCAGAAGCUUGUGAGAUUUCCAAGAUCUGUUAUCUUUAGAUAUAGUAGCUGAGGGAACAUUACAAUAAUAUUAAGGGAGCUGCUACCUUACAUUAAACGUAAGGUACAGCCUUCUCACUAAUGGUGGAUUUUAAUGGAGCCCACAGAUAAAUUAUGUGAGUGGUUGUACCAUACGUUUUACGUAAGGUAGCAAAAUCCUAAUAUUAAUCUUGCUUUCUUCUUGGUCAUCCACGACUAUUAUCUCUUCCAAAACAUUGUUCACUCCCUCAACCUUCCACUGAAUGGGACUCUCACCAAUACACAGUUCUUCUAAGCGGGGUAAGCUUGAUAUGACAUUUGGUGGAAUAAAUUAUAGUUUGAAACAAUUGCUCAGGUCCAAACCCUUCAACUGGGUCAGCUGGCCUAUUUCUUCAACCAGAGUCUCCAUAUGAGAACCUUGAAGCGUAAGAAUUUCUAAUUUCUUCAGGUCUCCGAUAAUAGCUAUGUCACCUAGUUUGCAAUCAUCUAGAGACAGUGUUUGAAGGUUGUGUAAGAGACCAAGUGAAGAAGGCAAUGGCUUCAAAUGCAUCGUAGUGAAAUUUAAAACUCUAAGCUCUGUCAUCUCAGUAAAAAUGUCAUGUGGGAUUCUCAACGAAGGAUCACUGCCAAUAGAAAAGUAUUCACGGUGUGGACAUUCCAACUCUUGAGGAAGCUCACUAAUAUUACUAUUAUUUAAGGAGAUUGCAGUGCAAACCUUUAGUUUAUCCUUAUCUGGCCAUUUGAUCUGUGGGACAACAUCAUUAUCCACUACGAAUACAUGUUGGUCUCUUGAUGCAAUUGAUAUGGCUACAUCACGAACAACAUCAUGCAUAGCAAACCAUUCACUUGUAACUCCAUCAAGCAACAAGCAAGGGUUUUUGAGCUUAUCAACCAAUGUAAGCGCUCUAUCUCGUGCUUCUUCCAACGUGUUGAUGUUUUGAAACAGAGCCAAACCCAUGCCAUAACAGAGCAAGUCUUCAACACAACAGAUGAACGAGUACCCUAUUAGCAAUAAUGUUUCUUUAAGUUCCCUACCUUCUAAAUGAUUGUAACUCAACUCUACAGUUGAAUAGGCCACCGCUUGUGUCCCAGAGAAGCUUCUCAAAAAAGGCCUUUGUAAUUGUCGUAAAGCAUUCCUCCAUUCAUAGAGACUCUUAUUUUUCAACGCCUUUGCUACGGGUACAAUGGCAAUGGGCAAACCAGCACAUUCCUUGACUAUAUCUGUCGCUACAGAUUUUAGUUCACUAUUUUCUAUGCAAUCACCUGCCAUCUUCUUAAAAAGACUCCAAGCUUCUUUCUUAUUCAAAAUAUCGACAAAAGAAUUAUGUUGACAAUCCAUCUUACAAGACAACACAUCUUGACUUCUUGCUGUCAGCAGAACUUUACAUCUGCUGUUAUCAUCUGCUAAUGGAAUUCCAACAGCCUCCAAGUCAAGAAUAUUCUCCAUCGUCUUUAUUGUCCCUUUUUUAUAUUUUAUUUUUUCUUGUGUCGAAAGAAUCCUUCACUUAUUGGAAUAUCCAUGAUGACUGGGUGCAAUUGGAAGAGUCCAUGAAAUUCUUCUUUCAUUCGAGCUUAAAAUACUUUCUCCGAACAAUUAGAAUACAUUAAUAUUUUAUGAACUUGCUUAGUAGAUCAUUCAACUACUUAAUUGGUGUUGUUAAUUAAUUGGUUAUCUUCCCGGAAACACAUUAAAGACUCUCACAGGGAUUCAUUAAACCUUUUUGCUGGGUCAAUUCUACAAGCAUCAGACGUAAAAGCUUCAUGAUAAGAGCACAAGCCUAUCGUCUUCAAAAGCUCCCUCAAAAAGCUAGCUAUUUUCUUUAUUGUCAUUUCCAUCCAUUUUAACCCUCUCUUUUUUAUUUUGUACAACUUUGACUUGACUCUCAAAUAGAGAACAAUGAUAUUUAGACAGAAAAAUUUAAUAGAAUGUUUAAAAAUAAAAUAAAAUUAGUGUCGGUUUAUCUUGUACUAGUUUUACCUUAUUGAUGUCAAUGAUUUUCUAAGAGAAAAAUAAAACUUACAUUAAUUUUACCUUUGUUUCAUGAUGAGGUAAAAUAUGAUUUUUUUUUACUUUUAAAAGAUUUCUUUAAAUGAUUUUCAAGUUGAUUUAUUUGAUUGGACUGUCAAAUGGGUUUGGGCUUAGGCCACCCCUAAUUUUUUUUUUUUUCCAGUUUACCAUAAAAAAGAUUGGGUGUGUUGCAAGUGAGAUAUGGAUAAAAGGACAUAACUAUUUCUUCGUUGGAAAUUCGAAUAAAGAGAUAGAAAAAUUGGUAAACGAGUAGGAAAUAAUUUACGGGAAGGAUGAGUGGAUAAGAUUAGUGCUGGAGCCGUCGUGGAUUCAUUGCUAUGCAGAAUUAAAAAUUCAAGCUUAAACAGUUUUGGUGAAAUUUUUAUAUUGAAAUUCUUGUUAAUUAAUCAUUCACACUUUAAUGAAAGUAUUAAUAGCAGCCGUGUAACUCCCUAUUAAUUAAUUUAUAUUAAUAGCAGCCGUGUAACUCCCUAUUAAUUAAUUUAUAUUAAUAGCUACCGGUAACUCCCUAUUAAUUAAUUUAUCACGUGUUAUAUAUAUAAAGUAAUAUUUUAACAAUUAAUAGCGUAACAGGAUUUUUUUUUUUAUGUUGCUCUUUUACUCAAUUAAUUAAUUAACAUUUAUAAAUGAUCACUAAGUAUUCAUGAGUAUGUGACACAUGAGCUUAAACAUGAAUCAAUAUUUGCUAGUGCAUUGGUGGUUAGCACAAAUAACCACGAUGAUAGAGAGUGACAGGGAAGCAUUAAGGGGACGGAUCCUUUAAUGACCUGAUUUUUAAGCAAAUUUCACUUAUAUGUUUAUUGGUUAACCAAUUAAGAAAUAAAAAAAGUUAAAUUCUAAUAAUACAUUAAUAUUAAAAGGCAAGUGAUAUAAGUUCUUUAAACGUUCAGAAGAGAUCAAAUCAAAAGAGAAUUUUAAUUUGAAAAUAACUCUUGUAAAACUUAAGUUUUAUGUGCUCAUGAAAGUAGUUGUAAUUGAAGGCAUCUAUUGAAUAUUCAAUGGUUUAACUAAUUAUAUUCUUUAUAGACAGUUUGUAAAUUAAUCUCGUCACUACCACCAUGACUUGUAAUUUACUUGUUAGAAAAAGAAUCGAUUAUAAAUACUAAUUUGACUUUAUUGUGCUCUAGAGCAAAAUACAAAGUGGAUAUUUAGUGAUUAUUAGUUUAACUUACAAUGCUAGAUAUAUUUUAAGUAUACAUAUUAAGACAUAUAUACACACACAUACAUACACAGAUUUGCGUGCAUGCGCGCGCCAAGAGACAAACAAAUAUACGAUGAAUAGAGAUAUCCGGACCUAAAGACUUCAAAUUAAUGGUGAAACAUCUUUGCAAAUUAAACUAAGAAAAAUUGAAAAAGUAUUUUUAUCAUUUUAUGUAUGGAAUUCCACGUCCAUGCAUGCAUCUACCCAACAAAUGCCCUUGUAAUUCCAUGCAUGCAUCUACCCAACAAAUGCACUCGUAAUUAAGUAUGCAUAUGGUACAUCACAAAAUAUUGUCUUGGAAAAGUCUCAAUGGAUGACACAUGAUCAUGUCAUUGUACUUACACGCACAAUGAAUAAUCCUUGCGACGACUUGCACAAAAAAAUGGCUGUUUGUCCCUGUAGUUUAAGUACCUAUGGAGGAGUCAAUAUAUUUUUAGAAAUUUACUCAAAAAAAUCUACAUUAUAUUUUUUUUGGUUAAAAUCUAAUUAAUUAUUUUUUAUCUUUCAUCUGCUAUAUAUUAAAUUAGUUUGAAUUUUAAACUUUAUCAUAUAAAAUUUAGCUUUGAAAAUUUAUGUCCAACAACAAAGAAAGUAAGUAAAGAGACGUUCUCCAUAAUCUUUUAAAAUAUAAUAUUGACCAAACUGGAUAAUUGACUCGAAUUAUGGGGAUUAAAUUAGUAUUUACCUAUUUAACAAAUUUUAAAAUUAUUUUCUAAAAAAAUGUAAAUUAAUUUCUUUCUUUAUUAAUAAAAUUACGACAUAUCUAAGUAAUAUUCAUAUUGUGCUGAGAACAACUUCUUAGUAUAGCGAUGGUCUUACAUGUGGAGGGUUGAAAUCUUUUAUGCAUGCACAUGGAGUUAAUAGUAAUUAAAAGGGGGUGUGUAUACCACACACCUUCGAUUUGAAGACAAAAAGUGAUUGUCAUCUAUUUGCCCACGUACACACCAAAAAGUGAAUCAAAUCCUCGAACGACUCAAUGACGGGACAAGGAUUGGUUCUCCACUUUUGUACGGCUUUGAAUCACUUCUCUAUUCUAUUCACCCCGCAUCACAAACGUGGUGACGACGUAAUUACGAAAACAACUAUAAUCCAGCUGAAAACAAAUUCGUAGGCAUUUUCCCUUCAUUUAGACCAAAUCUAAAGUUCUGAAUGAAAUGAAAGAGAAAGCCAACUUGAAUUACAUUUUUUCCGGCAUUUUUUGGUCGAACGAACCAUUUCACUUGGGAUCAUAAUGAGUCGUUGCAAAGAAAAUGUUAUUUUGAUUAUUACUUUGUUUAAUAUUCUUGUUUGCGGUAUUUUGAUUUGAGAGAGAUAUGAGUCUCAAAGGAAUGUCGGAUUCUGUGCUCACAUGAUGAGCUAUAUAAUAUAUGUUGGUUUUACUUAAGGUUGUUGUAAUUAGUGGUUUAAAAAAAAAAUAACUAGCACAACUCUAAUAAAUAAUGGAUAAAAAUUCCUAAUUAAUUUGAAUUCAUCUCUCAUUUGUCAUUUGUCAUCUCUUUUAUAUAAAGUAUGACUAUAUAUGAGAGAUAUUUUAUUGUAUAUAGCUAUUUCUUUUUUUUGUUAUUUCUAUCGACUUCAUGAGCACUGUCUUAGACUUUUCCCUUUCUGUAACAAUCUUGGUUUAACUAUGAACUAAAUAUUUUUCUUUUCAAUCAUUAAUUAAUAUUAGGUGGGUGGAUCUACUAACACGGUUGCACCUAAUUACCCACUAUAAAAUUUUAUUCUCAAUCCCCAUGGAAAAGUGUGCAUGCCUAUAUAUAAUCGGACUUCAUUAUCAGUGUUAUGGAUAGAGGAAUUAUUAAUUUUAAAUUAAUAAUUAUUUUAAUCAAUUUGGCAAUGUAUAUCUUAUCCUUAAUUAAUUUAUAUGAAUGAAUAUCAAGUGUAACGUAAAAUAUUAUUUGUGUUGCACAUGUGGACAAAUUAAAGAAUACAAAGAUUCCUUAAACAAGAUUCAAAGUAUAUUAGAAUUCGUAAUGGGGUGUUUGGAAACAAAGAAAAAAACAGAGAAAAUGAAAAAGGAAACUUCUCGAUUUUAUUAAUCAGAAUAUUCAAUACUUAUUAAGCUUACUUAGCUAAGCUUAUAUACAAUUAUUCUAACUAAUUAAACAACUUCAAACCAACUAACAACUUCAGAUUUAGUUUAGCCAUUGAGCUCUUGCCACAUGUCAUUCAGUUACAUUCAAUCUUGACACAUCAGUCAGCUCUGUCCAGCUCAGCAACUAUAUCUUCAACAUCCCCCCUCAAGCUCAACCGAGGAAGUAAGGUUGAGCUUGUCACGUAAGUAGAGAAAAGGAUGAUAAGAAAGAGCUUUGGUGAGAAUAUCAGCAGUUUGUUCUGAGCUAGAAAUAUACUGAACCUUAAGACAUUGAGCAGCAACUUUCUCUCGAACAAAAUGAACAUCUAAUUCAAUGUGUUUUGUUCUGGAAUGAAACUUAGGAUUAGAGGCUAAAGCAGCUGCACUUUGAUUGUCACACCAUAUGAUUGGAAUGGAGGAAAGAGCAAGGCCAAUCUCAGCAAGAAGAGAGCGAAUCCAUAAGACUUCAGCUGCUGCCAUAGCUAGUGCUCUAUAUUCAGACUCAGCACUAGAUCUAGAGACCACUACCUGUUUCUUAGAGCACCAAGACACUAGAUUUGGACCCAUAUAGACACAAUAACCAGCCACUGACCUCCUAUCAUCUCUGUCUCCAGCCCAAUCAGCAUCACUGAAACAAUCAAUCUGUAUGCUACCAUGAUUGUAGAACUGUAAACCAAGAUCAACAGUGCCCUUCAGAUAACGUAAAACCCUUUUACAAGCCUGCCAAUGAUUGACAGUUGGAGAAGAUAGAAACUGACUAAGCUUGUUGACAGAGAAAGCAAUCUCUGGUCUGGUCAAUGUUGCAUACUGAAGAGCACCUAUGGUGCUUCUGUAUAGAGUAACAUUAGAAAAGGGUUCACUAUCAGUUUUAGUAAAAGCCACUUCAGAAAGCAUAGAAGUAGAACAAGGUGUACUAUCCUGCAUGUGCACCUUGGCAAGCAAAUCAGUGAUAUACUUGGAUUGAGAAAGAUGAAUACCAGAUUUGUUGUAAAGGACCUGAACUCCCAGAAAAUAAUUCAAUGCACCAAGAUCUUUAAGUGCAAAAACAGACUGGAAGUUAGUGAUAGUCUGCUGAACAAGCUGAGGAUUGGAGCCUGUAAUAAUGAUAUCAUCUACAUACACCAAGACAAGUAGCAGAUGACCUUGUGUGCUCUUAAAGAAGAGUGAAGUAUCUGAAAUAGAAUUUGUAAAACCCCAUUGAGUUGUAAGAACUAAUUUGAGUCUAUCAAACCAUGCCCUUGGAGUCUGUUUAAGUCCAUAAAGAGCUUUGUGCAACUUACAGACAUAAUCAGGCCUGGAACUAUCUACAAACCCCUCAGGCUGUUGCAUAUAAACUUCUUCAGUGAGGUAGCCAUUAAGGAAGGCAUUAUUAAUGUCUAUUUGCCUUAGUACCCAAUGAUUCAUGACAGCUAUACUCAAGACAAUUCUGAUAGUUGAAGACUUAAUGACAGGACUGAAUGUUUCAUGAAAAUCCAGCCCUUGAGUUUGAUGAAACCCCUUAGCAACAAGUCUAGCUUUGUAUCUAAAGACACUGCCAUCAGGAUUAUAUUUAAUCCGAAAUACCCACUUAUUCCCAAUUACUUUAAUGGGAUGUGUAGGUUUGACAAGAGUCCAUGUAUGAUUAUUGAUUAAUGCUUGAUAUUCAUCUGUCAUUGCUUUAUGCCAAGCUGAAUCUUGAAGAGCUUUUGAGGUAGUAGCAGGUUCUGUAGGUUUGGUAGGAUUGGCUGUAAUAUAGGCUUUAGGUUUGAAGAUACCAGCCUUUGAUCGAGUGAGCAUUGGAUGACCAGUAGAUGACUGCAAUGGUGGAGUUAAAUGAUGGACAGGUGAGGUAGAUGGUUUUGAGUGUGAUUGUAUAGAAGAUUGAGAAGAAGAGUCUGGAGAGGAUUGAGAGAACCUGAGAUCAGCUGCUGUAGAGGAUGAAGACUUGGUUAUAUCAAGUUGAAUCAAAAGACAAACAGAAGAUGAACAAUGUGAAGAAGAUUGAGAUGAAUGAUCUGAAGAAGAGCAAGAGUGACUGACAGAGGAAAAAUCAACUCCUGACUGAAAAGGAAAACAUAACUCAUCAAAAGUAACAUGGUUACUGACAUAGAUUCUACUAGAGGAAUGAAGACACAAGUAGCCUUUGUGAAGGGAGCUGUACCCAAGAAAAAAUACAUCUAGCAGUUCGAAACUCUAGCUUAUGAUGAUUAUAAGGCCUCAGAUAUGGGAAACAAGCACACCCAAAAACUCUCAUAACAGAAUAAUCUGGUCUUUUGUGGAAUAAUUUUUCAAAUGGUGAUUUGUUAUCUAGAAUGGGCGUAGGGAGCCUAUUUAUGAGAAAUGUGGCAGUAUGGAAAGCAUUCCACCAAAAUUUCAAUGGUAAAUGUGCUUGAGCAAAAAGAGUAAGGCAUGUUUCCACUAUAUGUCUAUGUUUGCGUUCAAUCUUUCGAUUUUGAUGGUGAAUAUAAGGACAAGGAUGUCUAAAUUGGAUUCCCUGCUCAGCAAGAUAAGAAAGAAAUGGCCUAAAUUCACCUCCCCAAUCUGUUUGAAGACAUUUGAUUUUCCUAUUUAGGCAUUUUUCUAUCAUAUGCUGGAAUUCAAUAAAGGUUUGUAAGGCUUGAGAUUUGGUAACAAGAGGGAAUAUCCAGGUGAACCUAGUGAAGUCAUCUAAGAUGGAAAGAUAGUAGUGAUAGCCUUGAGAGGACAGCAAAGUAGCUGGUCCCCAUAGAUCAGCAUGCAACAACUCCAGUGGUUGAAUGGUAGUGGUGUCUACAAAGGGAAAAUGCUGCAUGUGACACUUUCCAAAUUGACAAGCAUUACAAAAAAUUGGUUUGAGGACUCUAUUGGUAUCGAGAGAAUGAUGUAAAUGCUUCACAAUUUGUUUAAGAGCAUGCACAGUUGGAUGACCCAUUCUUUUAUGUAAAACAUUGUAAUCAACUGAGUUUGAGUGAGUAACAGACAAGGCCAUUGAGGCUUCAUUAUUGAAUUGAGAAAUAUUUACAUCUGUCAAAAUUUCUCCAGAAUGUAUAGAGUUUGAAACAUUGGAAUGACUAAUCAUUGACACUGGAGAAGAACAGACAUUUGACACAGAACUGGAAUUUGAGGUGACACAGAAAACAUUAGACUGAACUCUAUUUGAAACUGCAGCAUGAGACACUGCAACAAGACCUUCAACUUGAUAUAAUCCUCCUCUAGCAAUCCCCUUGAGCAAGAUGAUCCCUGAGUUCUUGUCAUUGACAAAACAGAAUGUUUUAUAGAAUUCAACAACAACAUCAUUGUCAGCCAGUAGUUUAGAUACACUUAAAAGGUUUUUGGUUAUAGCUAGGACAUGCAAAAUAUUAUUGAGAUAGAUAGAUGUUGCAGCAAGUGUAUUCAAUCGUGUGCAGCCAACAUGUUUAAUAUGUAAUCCCAUGCCAUUUCCUACAUGUAGCUUAUCAAAACCAUGAUAAACUGAGUAAGAAGAGAAGAUACCUGCUUCCUUAGUCACAUGAUUUGUUGCUCCUGAGUCAAUAUACCAAGCAGGAUCAGCUACAACUCCAUAAUCAACAACUGGACCAGUGGAAGCAAAUUGUGCAGUGGGAAUAGCAGAAGGAGCAACUCCAUAGUUAGCAAAUGGAGUAGCAAUUGCACCAUUGUAUUGACCUUGUAAUCCUUGAAACACAGGAAACCCUUGAGGAUACAUAACAUUUACAUUCUGAUAUGCAACAUUCCCUUGAAACAUGGGUGCAUUAUAUCUAGGAGCACCAGUUGCAGUUCCAUAAAAAUUUCCAUAACCUCUGCCAAACAUGUUCUGAGGCUGACCAGGAAAGCCUCUAAAAUUGAAUCCACCUCUAGGCCUAAAGCCACCUCUUCCUUGUCUAGGAAUAAAGUUCAGAUUAAAUAUGUUCCUGCAUUUGUAUGCUCCAUGACCAGGUAUGAAGCAUAUUUGACAAAUCACUUCCUUAUCAACAUUAUAUCCUCCUUUGCCAUUAUCCAUUCCAGUAAAAUUUCCACCAUUAAAACCUCUCUGAUUAGCAUUAUUUAACUUAUUGUAAUUCUGUCCUUUUUGAACAAAAUUAGCUGACAUAUCAUGCAACAAUUCAUUUUGCACCUUUCCCUUACUCAUCUCAACCCUAGUUUCAUGACUAAGCAUUAAGGAAUACACUUCUUCAACAAUGAGAUUAUCUUUUUCCAGCCUAGCAAGUAUAGUUGUCACUAAUGACUCAUAAUUGUCAUCUAAACCAGUAAGCAAAUGCAUUAUAAAAUCUGUUGAAGCAAGAGGAUUACCACCAAUAGCUAAGUUGUCUGCAAUUUUUUUCAUCUUAUCGAAGUAAUCACUUACUGACAUAGCUCCUUUCUUUGUGGUUUGAAUCUGCAUUUUCAGAGGCAUGUAUCUAGCCUUUGACUGUGACAUGAACAUCUCGGCAAGUUUCUCCCAGAUCUCAAGUGAGGUAUCACAAUCCACAACCAUGAUAAGUACAUUGUCUACCAUAGAUGACAACAUCCAGCUCUGUAGAAGCUUCUCAGCUUUCUUCCAAUCAAUAUAGUCAGAAUUUUCACGUCUGCUUGAGCUAGGAGCUUCUGAUCUACUGGCAGCAUUCUCAUAUGAGGAAAGAAAACGAUAUGGACAAGGAGAUUCACCAUUGAUAAAACCUUCAAGACCAUUGGCAAUAAUCGAAGCUUGAAUUUGAGCUCUCCACACCAGAUAAUUUGUUCGAUCAAGUUUUGUUGGUUGAAUAAAGGAAAAAGAAAGUGAAGACGAUCCUGAAUUGCUUUGAUUCGUCAUGUUUCAUAGCUCUGAUACCAUAUUAGAAUUCGUAAUGGGAUGUUUGGAAACAAAGAAAAAAACAGAGAAAAUGAAAAAGGAAACUUCUCGAUUUUAUUAAUCAAAAUAUUCAAUACUUAUUAAGCUUACUUAGCUAAGCUUAUAUACAAUUAUUCUAACUAAUUAAACAACUUCAAACCAACUAACAACUUCAUAUUUAGUUUAGCCAUUGAGCUCUUGCCACAUGUCAUUCAGUUACAUUCAAUCUUGACACAUCAGUCAACUCUAUCCAGCUCAGCAACUAUAUCUUCAACAAAGUAUGAUAUAGAAAAGAAUUUAAAAUUAAAAAAAAAAAGUAAAAUAGUAAUUUGAAUUUAACGAGAUUCAUGUACAGGAAGAAAAGGAAUUAAUAAAGUGAUGAAAGAUUGGUAAUCGUGGCAAGUAAUCUUAUCCAUGUACGCGGCGGCACGACCCAGGACUUGGAAAUUAAAUAAUGAAACUUCUUUGCAAACUUAGAAACUACAAAUUAAUGAAGAGACUUUGACGAGUAAUUUAUCAUUUUAUGCAUGGAAUUCCACGUGCAUGCAUGCAUGUUCUCCACGCUUGGAAAUUUUGCAAACGGCCUCUCCCUUUGAUGGGAGGGACAGUUUUCGUACAUCAAUUUUGAAAAUGUCCUCUAACAAGUGUCUCGAUUAUUGGAUAACAUGUGCAGUCCUUUUCAUUAAUAACACGUCCUUCAACAAUCCUCAUUGCAAUAAAGAAUUUACGGAAAAUUUCUAUAAUACAUCAUACUACAAAGUUAGUCAUACAACAAAUAGAUAAUACUUAUAUUUUAUAAAAUUAUCAUGUAAUUGAUGAUUAUAUCAAAUUUAACUACAUAUAUUAUAUAUACAGUAGUUGAUUAUAUUGUCUUUGAUGUAUUGUAAAAUUUCUGAUUUUAUGGACAUAUAAUAUAGAUUAUCAAGGUUUAAGUUUUUUCACACGCGCGUGCACACACACACACAUAUAUAGAAGUGACUAAUGAGCCUUUUUCUUUUUUCAUUUUGAGAAAAUCUCAAGUACAUAAAAUGUAUUAUAACCAUUUAGUGAAAUGAGUUAUGACACAUGCAUUUUGAUUUUAGUAUACUAUAAUUAUCUUCUUCUUCUUCUUUUUUUUCCAACUUAAAUGCACACAAGGAUGGCAAUGGGGAGAGGAGGGAGGAGACUGACCUCCCUGUACCCAUCCCCGAAAUUCUACAUAUGUAUCAGUCCCUUCCCUGUCCUCAACAAAAUUGUUGUAGGGAAUUUUCGUCCCCUCCCUGAAUAAUAAUAGGGGAUCCUUGAGGGUCCCCGAUCUCCGAAUAACCGAUACGUUAUUUAGUU